UUGGCUGCCCACCAUGAACUGCUCAAGUCGGUUAACGCUCCAAGUUAAAAUGUGAAAGCGUCCUCAGGACAUUUGCACCCAAACCUGCAAAACUGCAGUUCCAAACUGUUCGUUGGCGACGAACAGAAGCCAGCACCGGUGAUUCCACACACGCAAAGUCGUCCCAGCAUAUAUAGGUGAGAAGUAGGAUCGAUGUUAAGUUUUAUCUUUUUGGGUCAUUAGUUACGCUCUAUUUGGAUCAUUUGGACUAACAGGUACGGAGUAGUAACUUAAAAAAAAAGACUUCAGUCCAGCCCUCAACUGAUCCAUUACUUGGAUGAACCCGUCUAAGAGCAUCUCAAGAGACUCGUCGUGCUAAUUGGGACAUGGGCUCAGUUAUAACAUUGCUAAGCAUACAAUACAGCCCAGGUCUGAAAGAAUAGUGUCUUGAAGAUCUAUGGGGAUAAUAUCACGUUUUAGGAUUGAGGUUGUUUGUGCAUUGACAUGAGCCAUGUGUUUAGAUGGUGUCACACCCGGGUUCUAAGGAUCCAAAACCCAGACGCGAAAUAAUCAUCAAGUGUGAUGGGAUCAAGUCUCACACAUACACAUAUGAUGACUCAUGAUACAAAAACGAAUGUCACAUUUUUACUAUAUAAUAGAAGUUCUGUACAAAAUAGCUAAAUAAUUAUAUCAUAUGCAGACAACGAUCCAACAACCAUAAAGUUGACGAUGGCCUAGACCACUCACGAACUCAUCAUAGCAUCUUUUGUGCGCCUCCUUCUGUGGUACAUGUUCUUGACCUGGAGGAUGUGAGUAUAUCAAGGGUAAGCUCACAUACGUUCAUCGCUCAACAAGUUUUGGUGAAUAAUGUGUAUGAACUCACCAAAGGUAAGAGCUCAUGUGAAGUGUAAGAUUUACCAAAGGAGAUGGUUAAAGCUGAGCAUUGCUUUUAGAGUUGGUCAAAAUUUUAUUAGCAGUUACUAAGUAUAAGUAGAUACCAAUCCAAAUAAGUAAGAGAUCAAAUUAAUAACAACACCCACAAUGCAAUGCAUAUGACAAAUCAAGUUUAGUUCUAUAGAUUAAUCAUGCGAGAGUCCUGAGCUGCUCAUGACCGCGAGCGCGGCUGAUAUACCAGUUUUACACUCUGCAGAGGUUGCGCCCUUUACCCACAAGUCGUGUAUCCCGUCUAGCCAAGGUUAGCUAGACCCUUAGACACUUCCGAGAUGAAUGACUAGGGAUCCACUACGAGGCCUUUACAAAGUUCCACUAGCUUCAGAAAACCCGUUACAGUUUUUAGGGAGCGCAGUAUAGGAAUCACUCGUCCGAAAAGUCAUCACAGCAUGAUCAACCCGAGAACCUCUCUAUACCGACAACUCCCCUACUACCCUUACCCCUUUUCGGGUAAGGUAAUCCUCCACUAGCUUUCCUAAUUAGUCAGCCAAUGGCGUCCUAUUCCACCCUUGUGGUAGCACGUGUUUCUUAGGUUAAGCUCCAUGUUCCAAUUACACAAUGACCUUGUCAUGAACAAUAAUUAAAACAAUAGUAUAAUUGGAACAUGACCAUAAUGUGAUAUUAAUCUCGAAAUCAGAUAGAGCAAUAUCAAAUGUACCAAAAGUUCAGUGGUAAACAAGGUGUGAGAUAAACAAGUAUAUGGAAACCUAUUAGGUCCCAUCAGAUUAACCUGAGCAUGUCACAAUGAUUAACAUGAACUUUAUUAGGUAAAGAAAAGUGAUCAAGGACAUAACUUGCCUUAGACUCGAGAUUCCAGGUACUUCUCCAAUUUAGUCUUCCAAUUUCUCGUGACCUCACUGCUACUCAUAGCAAAACAUACAAAUAGACAAAGAUUAUAUAAAGAUAACAGUACACCAAACAUGAGAAUAAAUAAUGUAAGAAUAUUCUACACGCCGCUAAGAGAUUGUAGGUUCAAGAACCGCUACAUUCAGAGUUACGGUUAGAAAGAUAUGAUAUUCUAAAGUUUUAGGUGGUUAAACCAGAAACCUUUUAUUCUUUAUUGAUUAAUAUAAGUCAGAAAGUUUAUGACCAAUAAAUAACUAAUUUAUCUUUAAUCUAGUUUAUAACUUGACAAGAGGUUAUAUUUUAGUCAUACUACAAUUAUGGAUAUUUUAAGUUUGUUUUUAGAAGGUUUAAUUCACUAAGCAUAGGUUAAACGAAUAUUUAUUUUUGAAACCAUGUUAUUUGAUAAAGUAACGUUACAGAGGCGUAGUCAACAUUAUUAUGAAGCUAGCGCAACUUGAAUGGAUUAAAUUGAGCUCAAAAUGAAAGAGAUAUAGAUUUAUUAAGUUUUAGGAUUUAAUUCUAUGAUUAUUAAAGAUUUCUGGACCGGGGCACUAUUCUACAAAAGGUCAGGGGCUCCAUAUCAUCUUUAGGACUUAUCCGCAAUGGUUUCUACCCAUACCCGGACUGCGGGUUAAUUUUACUAGACCGGAGGGUUUCUUUUGUAUAAUAGACUCGGAUGUGGAGAAAUUGGGGAGAUCUAAGUCGUUAGAUCUAGAUUUGAUGGCUCGGAUUUAAAUAAACGAAGGGGUAUUCUGGUUGUAAUCUGGACCGUUCCCUAUGAGAUCAAUGGCCAAGAUACCAGGUAGACAGGGUAUGCUAGGGAUCUAAUCUCAUCCAUUGGUGCCUAAUCCAACGGUUCACGAGCAUCUUCCUCACCUCAAACCCUUGAAAGUCGCCUAGAAGGGGGUGAAUAGGCGAAACCUGAAAUUUAUAAACUUUAAAUACGCAUUAAGGUCGGGGUUAGCGUUAGAAUUAAAUUGGAGUUUGAAAGAUAAUUCUCCUUGCUUAGAUUUGCUCAAUCAAUGCGAAUAAUGUAACACCCCAGGUGUUUAUAUUCCGCUCGACAACGAGUACGGAUUUAAGCACGCAAUAUCAGUGGAUAACACAGAUUUUAAAUUUUAAACAUCUUCUUCUAUCGCGAUUUUUAUAUCGCAUCGGUGUCGUCUGUCGCGAGCGUGACAUCGUUUUUAUUUCCAUCUAUCCGGGCUCUUCCAAAAUUUUUAUGUUAUUCGGCACAUAGCUGUUCCGAAAAUCGGUGCGUCCGGUGAUUAUUUAAAAUUCAUCGCUCGCGUGAACAAGAAUUUGGAAGCCCGAACUCACUCGGAUGAUUUUAUCCCGGAUAAAUUAAUUUGAACUCGGCAACUAAAUGUUGGGGGCAAAAUAAUUUGUAUCGCGUGUUGUCUGAGAAAAAUCGUGCGUGAGGUUAUAAUCCAAUUUAUUCUUCAGCACGCUGUUUCGAAGACAAAAUCGCGUAUACGUUCGCAGAUAUUGUUUCGGCUAAUUUUGGUCGAAUCCCGCCGAACAAAUUAUCAGUACCGAAAUCAGUUUAUUUCGGUCUGUCGUUUCUUGUCCGAUCCAAAACUUUGGAUAUAAAUGACGGGUGUAAAUUCAUCUGAUUCCAAGUAUUCACUUAAUCAAAGUCGUGACGGCGCGUCCAAGAAUUAUAAUUGAGACCCGAUUAUCACACAAAUUGUCAUGGAAUCAGAUGUUCAGACCACAGGUAAAUUUCUCAGAAUUUGAAUCGAAUCAAACUGUGUCGCAAAUAUUGUCGAUCUUUUCGUUAUCGCUAAAAAUCGUGAUCGAAAUAUCAGUAAUUCUCUAUAAAAAGGAGAAGAAAUAAAAGAAAAAAAAAAGAAAAUAAAAAAACCCCACCGCUCUUCCUUCUUCCCCUGGUAUUUCUUCGAGUCAAUUCCUUUGCAACCAUUAUAAAAGAUCCAAAUUCCAUAUGAACCACUGGAAUUUCUACCGUUCGUCCCAUGCCAUUGUCCAAGAUUUUUCAUCCCGUUUAAACCACUGCCGUCUCUUUUCGUGGUAACGGACGUUAACAGCAGCGAGGAAGGUCCGUUUUGCCCUUGGCGACUUGAGUCAAGUCCUUGUUGUUCAGGCCGCCGCCGCUCCCAGUUCUCCCGUGAGGCUCUUCUCUCGUUCGUGUCCCCCUGUUCUCCCCGCCGAACCCUAGAUUCACAGCACCAAGGAUGGGUUAAGCGAGGAUGGGGAAUCAUGGUGGAGGACCAGGGUCCGGAUUGGCGGGCGACAUGGCACCGAUGAGGUCCGACGACUGGCCUUCAUGGCUUCCAGAUGGGUAAGUGUGCCUCUCAUCAGUCUUCCUCAGCUGACCAGUGGUUGGGGCGGAGGGCGGAGGCGGGAGGCGCCGGGGAUCGGGGCCUGUGGGCUCGGGGUCGCGGCCGCGGCGGUGGGGGCUCGAGGCAGGAGCUGCGGCGGCGGGGGCUCGGGGUUGGGGCCACGGCAGCGGGGGUCGGGUUCAGGAGCCAUGGCAGGGGCUCGGGGCCACGGCGGCGGGGGUCGGGCUCAGGUCGGGAGCCGCGGCGGGGCUCGGGGUCAGGGCCGCAGCGAUGGGGGCUCAGGGUUGGAGCCACGGCAACUGGUAGGCCUCGGUGGCAGGGCUCUGUGUUCAUCUGAUUGAGUGUGUUUGACUCUGUGUUCAUCUGUAGGAUGGACCCAAAAACAAGCUUCAAUUUAGAAUUCAGGAUAUUCGCUACAAAAUCACGUUUCCCAUGGUUUUUGCACACUGAGCUUGUAGAUUCUGACAUUAUGAAUUACAAAGAUCUGCUUGAUGAAAUCAUGAGGAAGUACCCUUGUUCUUACGGGGAGGUGGUGAAAAUGUAUUAUUACUGUGCUGAGUCCAAGUCCAACAUUGAGGUUUGCUGUGAUGAAGACCUAGUUAAUAUGUUUCAGAAAAAUGCAUCCACUAAGACAUGUCAUAUUUCCAUUGCUCACUAUGACCCUAGUACUGAACCACCAGCCAUACCACUAUGGGAUGUAACAUAUGCUAAGGCAGUGGAAAUCCCUUGCACAUCAUCAAUGCCAGCUCCAACUCAAUCUUUAGAUGAACCAAGCCAACAACCAGAGGAUGAUGACAAGUACCUGCAAAACCCUGAACCAGAAAAUGAAUAUGUUGGUGUCGAUGAAGAAGGCAUGUACAUUGACUUAGGACCACAGGUUCAGGGAAAUGCAGACCAAGAGGAUGAGUAUAUUCCUGAGACUGACUCUAACUUGGAUUCUAACUUUGAAUCUGAUGGUUCUGAUGAUGAGAUGGUGGAGGAUAAUGUUCCACCCCACACAGCCGAAGCAGUGUAUGACAAAGCUGACCCACCUAUGGAAGUAGGAAGCAUAUAUCCAAACAUGAAUGCAUUUAGAUUGGCUUUAGCUACUCAUACAAUCAAGAAUGAGUUUGAAAUUGACAUUGAGAAGAGUGAACCAGGGAGGUACAGGGCUUACUGCUGUGGGAGAAUUGAGGGUUGUAAGUGGAGGAUUCAUGCUUCAACUAUGGGAGACAAUAAGACAGUGAAGGUAACUGUCAUAAGUUGUGUCCAUUAGUUUGUUGUGUAUCUGAAUUCUUAUGUUGAACACAUGUUUUUAUGUGCAGGUGAAGAAGAACCCACAUCUGCAUGAGUGCCAUAGUACAAGGAGAAAAGGUCAGGUGAAGGGUGCAACCAAACAUUGGGUUGCUGAUACAGUGAGAGAUUGGUUAGUGGACAAUCCAAGGUUGACUCCAAAGGCCCUUCAACAGAGGAUAAAAGAUGAGUUCAAGGUAUGGGUGCACUACAAGAGGGUUUACCAUGGUAAAGAACUAGCUAUGACUCAAUUAUAUGGUGACUGGAGGGAGAGUUUUGACAACCUAUAUAGGUUCAAGAAGCAAAUAGAAGAAUCUUGCCCUGGUAGUUUAGUUGUUAUUGAUCAUCACACCAUCAAUAAGAAGAUUAAGUUCAACAGGCUAUUUUUUGCCAUGAAACCUUGCAUUGAUGGUUUCCUUCAAGGAUGUAGACCCUAUUUAGCUAUUGAUAGUACAUUUCUAACUGGAAAGUUUAGGGGUCAGCUAUGUGUGGCUUGUGCAGUAGAUGGACACAACUGGAUGUAUCCAGUUGCAUUUGGAGUUAUAGAUUCUGAGACAAGUGAAAAUUGGUCCUGGUUCAUGGAGAAACUCAAAGAAGCUAUAGGUACUCCUCUUGGCUUGACCAUUAGCACAGAUUGUGGUCAGGCAAUCAUGGGAGCUGUGAGUGAGGUUUUCCCAACAGCAGAGCAUAGAGAGUGCAUGUGGCAUCUAGUUCAAAACUUCAAGAAAAGGUAUACGGGCAAGGUCUUUGACGAUCACCUGUGGGCAGCAGCGUAUUCUUGGAACACAUACAUGUUUGAGAAGCAUUACAAAGCUAUGGCUGAAGCUAAACCUGAGGCAGUGGGAUACUUGCAGGAAUGUCACAGUAAGCUUUGGACUAGGAGUCAAUUUUCUACCUUGUCAAAGGUAGACUAUGUGACAAACAAUCUUGCUGAAGUCACAAACAAAUGGCUCAAAGCUGAGAAGGCCAAACAUCUGGAUGAUUUGUUGGACAGUAUUAGGCAAAAGAUUUUGAUCAAAUGGAACCAGAGGAGAAAGAUAGCAAGGCAGAUGGAUGGAAAGAUUCUUGACCACAUCACUAAGAAGCUGAGAGAACAUACCAGGAACCUUGACAUUGAUGUUAUAACUAGCAAUGAUAAUGUUGCAGAAGUGGUUGCUAGGGGUGGAAGUAGUUUCAGAUUUGUAGUGAACUUAGAUGAGAGGACAUGUUCAUGCAGGGCAUGGCAGGUGUCUGGCAUACCAUGCAAGCAUGCAAUAGCAUUCAUCACAUCCAUCAGAAAUGAGAAGCUUGAAGACCAUGUGGAUCAUUACUUCUCUGUAGAAAAGUUCAGAGCAGCAUAUGAGGGCACAAUUCCUGCUAUACCAGAUAAAUCUAUGUGGCCUAAGUCUGAUCAUGGGUUUUUCAUGCAUCCUCCCCUACUGAAAUCAACAGCUGGAAGGAGAAAGGAAACAAGGUAUAAGGGAUACAGUGAGGGUGGUAGGGGCAACAAGGGCAGGCACCAAUGCCCAAUUUGUCAUGAAUAUGGUCAUCACUGGUAUACUUGCAAGGAUGGAGACCCAUCUGACAUAGCAGCUAUGCUUGCUGAUAGGUAAAUUUGUUAUUAAUAUGGUACUCACAUAGAAAUUUGCAUUACUUAACAAGCUAAUCCUAUUUGUAGGGGACCACCAAAGAGGAAGAAGAAGCAAGUAAUGCCAGCAUCUACUGAGACAAGCAUUGUACCUGUGUCAGCACCAAGAAUGGUUUUCCCUGAUCUUGGCCUCACACCUCCAGUUACAAAGAAGAAAAAGAGCUCAUCCACUACAUCAAAGGCUGCCAAGAAGAAGAAGAGCUCAGCCAUGUCUGUUAGGUUGGUGCAAUACUUGUUUGUACAGCAGUCUGUUAUUACUCCUAACCUUCACUCAUGCAUAUUAUUCUUGCUACAAGAUCUGGACAAGGCUCCAACCAGCCAGACCCUAUGCCUUUGUCUAUCAUGAUGCCAUCAAUGGAGGUUGCAGACAAGGAAGAGAAUCAAGAAACAAAAAAAGAGGUGGCAGGACAUGGGAAGAAAAAUAAGAGAGAGCCAGAAGUCAUCGGAUCUCCUGCAAUGGGAACUAGAAGCAAAGCCAGUUGCAGUGGCAGUCCUGCCAUGGGAACUAGAAGCAAAAGAAAGCUCAAUGUCUAAUUGGAACUAGGUAGUCUUUUGUACUAUUUUUUGGGUCUACUUGACUAGAAUUGUGUUAAUGUAGUGCUGUGGUCUGUAUGACCAAAACUGUGGCAUUCUAUGACCAAAACUGUGAUGCUAUGGUCUGGAUGGCCAAAACAUUGAUGUAUGGUCUGUAUAACCACUUGUGUUUUCAAUUUGCAUUACUUUGCCAUACAUCUGGACACUGUUUAUGCCAUACAUGUGGAUACUGUUUAUGUCAUACAUCUGAAUACUGUUUAUGCCAUACUGGGCAUUGGUUCUAGCACCAAGGUUUGGCGCCAAAACCAGAGCAGAGGGUCUGCCUCCUGUGGCAAGAAAGGGAAGAUCCAAUUUCUUUUUCACGGACCAAACCAGGGGCACACUGGUCCUUUCGUAAUCCUGUUACCAUCCGUUAGCACUAAAUGGGACGGCAGUGGUUUAAACGGGAUGAAAAAUCUUGGACAAUGGCAUGGGACGAACGGUAGAAAUUCCAGUGGUUCAUAUGGAAUUUGGAUCUUUUAUAAUGGUCGCAAAGGAAUUGACUCUAUUUCUUCACUCAUCUGUCUCACACAGAUUUCUUUUCACGGUCAUCCUCAUCUACUGCCGCCAUUCUCUGAUAUUUUUCACCACCGCGUACAACCGGAGAUUUUAUCCUGUGGCCGGUUCUAUAUCUUCCAGAUCGUUGCUUCUCCCUGCCUCUCCCCAUUGCCGACGUUCUUCUUCGUUUUGCCGCUGCUGGAGCUCUGGGUCCAUGCGCGCAACCUCCUCUGUGUCGCGCCUGAUCCAUCUCCCUUGUUGUGCGCUCCUCUGCCGGUGGUGGCUGCCGCGGGCUCUCCCUGGCUCGUCGGCCUGCAGCUCGCCCAGCCCAGGGCCACGGGCUACAGCCGUUCGUCUCCCCCCGAGCUCCCUGUUUCUCUGCGCUGUUUGCUCCCUCUCUCUCUCUUGUCUUCUUCCCCGCGCGCCGGCUCCCUGCGUCGCGAACUCCACAUCCCAUCGCCAAGCCGUGUCCUAGCUUCCUGUUGCCGCUCCCUAUGGCCGAGCCCAACUCCUUGCCGUGCGGCUCCCUACUCGCUCCGUGUUGCGCGCUCUCCUUGUAUUCAUGGCGGCCACUUCCUGCUAGCCGUGCGCGCGCUGGCCGGCGUUCGGUGUCUGGCUCGCCGCGCGUCCAAGCCUCUCCUUCCUCCUCCUGUAGCUCGCCCUGUACGUCUUGCUCACCCUCCAGCUCGCUUGGUCCCUGCGCGCGUCGAACUUCUGCUCGGCGUCCAGCUUCUCUGUUUCCUGACCCGCGCGACCAGCCGAGUCCGACUCCGCCGUGAGCUCGUCCCUGGCGCUCGACGCGCAGUGGCGCAGCUCGCGGAGCUCUCUUGUCGUGGCCGUCGCGUCCCUGCGCCUAGCCUUUAGUUCAGUCUCUAUGCGCGCGAAGCUCGCCGGUGUGCUGCUAGUCUAACUUAGAUCUCGCCCAUGGCGUCGAUCUAUCCGUCCUACCGUCGCUCAGCUCGUGCGCGCCCUGUGUAUUUUUCCUGCUUGGCAUACUCCCUCGCUGGUGGGCGAGCAUCUCACUCAUGGUGCCCAGCUCGCGUCCACCUCCGUUGAUUGUUGACAUCGUGCGCUCGGCUUCUCUGGCGCCGAUUCGCGCUCGCUCAUGUCCAUCGUCGUGUCAUCGCUGCUCGUACCCCGCUUGUCGGCCACCAUAUCCAACUUCCACAGCAACGUUGUUGUUCUCUCUUUGGUGCUCGUUGCCGACUCCGCUACCUGUUUGAACUGGAGUUCGUCGUCAUCUUGCCCAUGCCGUGACCGCAAUUUCCUGUAUCCCUUGUCCACAUCAUCGUUCAGUUCCCUCGCUUCGACGCCAGUCCCUACGUGAUGCCUUCAAAUUGUGAUCGCGCGGACAAAAGGAUCCCCAAGAGAAGAUGUCCAAAGAUCGGAUGGUGGUGUACGUGAAGUUCGUGUGGCCCCUGCCAAGCGCUCGACAAAUUGCCUGGAUCGGAAAAUCGCUACCGAUCUCACGGAUUCGUGUCAGCUGUUGAAACGGUAAGCUGAUAAAUUAUUCAGAAUAAUUCGAUCGUUGAAUAAAAUAAUGUGUUAGGGCGAGGCUUAUUAAGGUGCUCGAUAAAUUGCGUAAGUCACGAAACUCUCGUCGACUUCGCAGUUCUUGCGAUUAUCGAGCCAGGUUCCGUUAUAGCGAGUUCUUUCGCUAUUCCGGUCAAUUAGCUGAAUUAAUGUACCGAGUAGAAUAUUGGUAGGUGUAACACCCGGUUUUAAAGGACAAAGCCGGGUGCAUCUCAUACAUGCGCCAAGAAGACAACACAUAUAAUAACAGAGUGUAUAGAGAUAAAUGUCAUAAAACAUCAGAGUAUUUAUUACAUAGCGGAAGACUUAUUACAAAAUAAAGAUAAAUAUAAAACAAACUAAGGAUCGUCGGCGCCAAUGUCGACUGAGAAACGCCACCUAGAUCAGAUCAAACUCCUCGAUACUUGGCUCCACUUGAACCACCUGUUCUUCUCCUGUGGGGGGGGGGGGGGUGUGAGACAGCAAGAGUGAGCUCACAUACGUUCAUCGCUCAACAAGUCGUGGGGAAUAAUGUGGCAUGAACUCACCAAAGGUGGGAGUUCAUGAAGUGUAAGGCUAAUCAAUGAAAUAAAGGCUGAGGCUGAGCAUUGCUUUUAUAAGUUGGUCAAAAUUUUAUUAGCAAUUACUAAGUGUAAGUAAAUACCAAACCUUAAUAGUAAUAAAGAAAAGUAAUAGUAAAAUAAUCCCAAUGCGAUGCAAAUGUCAAAUUGAAUUUAAGUUCCAUAAUUAAUCAUGUGAGGGUCCGAGCCGCUCAUUACCGUGAGCACGGCUAGUAUACUAGUUUUACACUCUGCAGAGGUUGCGCGUAAUACCUACUUUGUAAGAAAAAUCUAAAAGGAGAAAUGAAAUUCAUGUAUAUAUGUAUGUAUGUUAUCUCUACUUGUCAUUUCAUGUGGACACCUCACCUAUACAAAUGAAUAAGUAAUAAAAGGCACUCAAACAAAUUAUGCAUCAUGCUGGUAUUUUAUUUUGUGUGCACUUUGUGACAACAUAGAAUAAUGUGAAAAGAAUUAUAUUAAUACCCAAAUGGGAAUUUAAGAUCUAAAAGAAAUUCUAGGAUUUGGAAAGCAAGAAAGGAAGAAAAUGAUAGGUGAGUAAAAAUAGUAUAUAAAAAAAUAAUAAUAAUCAUAAAAAUAUUAUCCCUAUACUAGGAAUUAAAUGUGUACAUUUACUCAAAGGUGCAACUCAUAAAAAUAUUCAAAUUCAAAUGAAUUAGGAAUAAAGAAGAAAGCAGGAAAAAAAAGAAAAAGGAAAAACAAACCCCCAACUGGGCUCACUCUGGCAAUUUCGGCCCAACACCAUUUUUACUCCGCGCCAGCCCACUCUGCUCCUCUUCCUUUUCUUUUCCUGUUGAGACACUUCCAGGUGGGACCAACUCGUCAGAUGCCUUCACUUCAUCUGCGUCGCGCGCUCACAGGCACUGGGUCGCUGACCGUGGGCCCUCUCUGUCGGGUCUAUCCUCCCCACGGAGAUCUCGCUCGCCCGCUUCAAGCUCGCUUCGGUUGACCGUCCAACGGCCGCCGUGCAUGGCGCACUCGCCCCUGUUGACCAUACCCCUGGCCCUACAUACUGGGCGCCCCUAUCUCUACUCCAAAUGGCCUGCUCCGCAAGAAGCCGAGUCCUCUCAUCCACACCGUGCGCCGCCGCCAGACUAUUAGAACUGAUCCGCCGUCGACGAUUCCCGAUUUCCUUCGCUGUGGUGACCUCGGUGCCGACCUGGGAAGCUUCGGAGACUCAGAGCGGAACCAAUCGUGACCACGAUAAGGGCUGGGAGCGUUCUCGGGUCCCCGGAAUUUCUCGCCGAGGCUCUAGCUCCGCCGCAUCACCGCCGCCGUGCGCCAUUAGCGAAUGGGAGAAUUCGCCGUCGCAUCUUCACCAUAUGGUGGCCGCCGGGGAGACCACGUCGUCGGGGACUCUGGGUUCUCCAUUGCCGUGCGCCAGUACUGGAGUGAGGCUCCUCGCCUCUACCUCGCACCGGCGGAUCUCGUGCUGUUGGGCGCGACCAUCGGAUAAUGGUGAAGAUGUCGGAUUUCGGCGCCCGGUUGUGAACUGCGCUCCAAGGUCGGUCGGCUCUCCUCCAUCGGUGGUGAGUACAUUUCCCUCUCCCAAGCCGCCAGUGCCGGUGUGCUGUUUCCUGGUACCGGCGUCGUGUACGUAGGUAGAUGUGGGUAGCGGCGUAAGGAAGAAGAAAACUCCUAGUCGCUGGAAUCUAGAUGUAGGGCUGAGAUUAAAACCUGGAGUAGCAUUUUGCUUUGUAAAGUUUUGGCCGUCGGUGUGAUAAUCUAUGGCUUGGGUUUGGGGAAAGAACUAUGUCCGUAGAUUGGGUUGCCAACGGUUAGGAUUAGAAGGCAUUUACCUCUUUUGGAUUAUUUGAAUCUGUGCCAUCAAUCGUCAAUCGUGCGGUCCGCACUGAUUAUGGGCUCGGUAUCGAUCUAGGCCAUCCGAUCUUGAUCCAGUGGCCCAUAGCGCGUAUCGUUUUGGGGAAUAGAAGAUCUAAUCCGGAGCGUCGAUUGGGGAUCAGACGGCUAGAGUUUACCCGUACCCCUUCGCGGGUCCAUUUUACUUAAGAGCCCCUCGGUUUCAUUGAAAUAAACCCGCCGUCCUACUGCAUAGUGUUCUGAGUCUUAGGAUCUUUUGCGCCUGGGCCCCUGCUGUUCUCAGAAAUGAAGGCCCAGUCCAGAGCUGUUUAAAAUGGAAUAAUUAAAUUGGAAAAUAGGUUUUUAAUACAAAAAUAUAUGCUAGAACUUCAAUAAUUCAUAGAAAAUUCAUAUGAUAUCCAAAAUAAUCCAUUCCACUUUCUAAAUUUUUGUAAUUUUAUUAUUUAUCACUUAGAGCCUCUGUUUGGUCAUGAAAACAGUAAGAAAAGUUAUUUCCCACUUAAUCCCAUUUUAAACACAUAAAAUCUUUGAAAAUCCAUAACUUAAAUUCUAUAACUCCAAAAAUUAUGAUUCCUGUUCCUAGAAUUAUAUUUUAAUAUGUAGAAUAUUGCUGUGUAUUUUGUUCACAUGCUUGGUGUGAUGUUAAUUUUCCCCUGUAUAUUGUGCUUGUUGUAUUGUGGCGAGUAGAAGAGCCCGUGACUGAGGACCCUGGUGAGCAGCAGGUUGAAGUAGCUGAGCAGGAGCUCAUUGAAGGCAAGUUGUGCCCUUGACCACUUUUUACCCAAUAAUGUUCUUUAAUAUCACUUAUCCAUGCAUAGGUUAAUUUUGAUGGGACCCAAUAGGUCACCCUAGAUUGUUUAUCUCAUUACCUUGUUUACCCCUGAAUCACUUGGGUAGUUUGCUAUUGCUUUAUAUGGUUUUGGGAUAAUCAUUUAUUACCUCUAUGUUCCAAUUCUUGUUGUUAUUCUAUUUAUGUUCAUGAUGUUAUCAUUAAUGUUAAUUGGAACAUAGAGCUUAACUUGAGAACCACGUGCCACCACAAGGGUUUAAUGGGACGCCCUUGGCUGACUAAUUAGGAAAUCUAGUGGAAGACUACCUUACCCGAAAGGGGCAAGGACAGUAGGGGAGAGGUCAGUGCGGGGAGGUCCCUGGUUGAUUUUGCUGCGAUGGCGGUCAGCCAGGAACCCUGUACUGGAUCUUCCCAUAAACUGUAGCGGGUUUUCGGAAGCUAGUGGAACUUUGUAAAGGCCUCGUAGUGUUGCCCUGCCGCGCUUCCUAGGUAGAGGUGUAUGGGAUUCAUGACCCCUUGGCAGAUGGGUAACAUGACUUGUGGGUAAAGGGUACAACCUCUGCAGAGUGUAAAACUGGUAUACUAGCCGAGCUCACGGUCAUGAGCAGCUCAGGACUCUCUGAUGUUUAAAUUAUGGAACUUAAAUUCAAUUUUGUCAUUUGCAUUGCAUGGGUUUGUUAUUAAUUUUGUUCUAUUACUUUACUUAUGGUUUGGUAUUUACUUACACUUAGUAACUGCUAAUAAAAUUUUGACCAACUACUUAAAAGCAAUGCUCAGCUUUAACCCCUAUCAUUGAUCAGCCUUACACUUCACAUGAGCUCUCACCUUUGGUGAGUUCAUGUCACAUUAUUCCCCACAACUUGUUGAGCGAUGAUCAUGUGUGAGCUCACCCUUGCUGUCUCACACCCCCCCCACAGGAGAUGAUCAGGUGGUUCAGGAGGAGCCGCCUAACACUGAGGAGUUCGAUCUGAUCUAGGUGGCGUUUCCCAGUCGACAUUGGCGCCAACGAUCCUUAGUUCGUUUUAUAUUUAUCUUUAUUUUGUAAUAAGACUUCCGCUAUGUAAUAAAUACUCUGAUGUAUUAUGACAUUUAUCUCUAUACACUCUGUCAUUAUAUAUGUUGUCUUCUUGGCGCAUGUAUGAGAUGCACCCGGCUUUGUCCUUUAAAACCGGGUGUUACAGAAGUGGUAUCAGAGGAAAUGUUGACUGUAGGACGAGACCUAGAUAGAAAUGGACAAACCCUUGACUACUUACCUUACUCUGAUUCAUUCUAUACUUACCUUAUCUUGAUCCUGUCUCACCUUCUACUGUUCUACUCUAAUCAUUCUUACCUUUUCUACUCUAAGACAAGAUGGAUUUCAUACCUUGGAAUCCUACAUUUGCGAACUUUUUAAGAGAUAGGGACCUAAGACGAAAUUAAAAUUAUUUUCUCUAUUAAAAAUGUUGGUUGAUUGUUCUGAUGAUCAAUGCUUGAUUUGCUUCUUUGAUUGAUUGAAAUAGUAUAGACGGGCAUCUUAGCAUGUACCACCAUAAGGUAAUGAAUUAGUUUUAGUAGGCGACACACUCAGCUAAUAAAUCCCCAAAGUAACACGCCUCGUAAUUACAUGCCUUGUCUACACUCCUUCCUUUCGUACCUUAUGUUUCUAACCCAGAUGGGCUACCGCUAUAGUGUUAGAAGAGAGCACUAUAGACGUGAUCCUUGGUAUGUCAUGGUUAAGAAAGGCAAAGGCGGUUUAUUCACUGUGCUAAAGGAACCGUAGAACUCACCAAUUCCAAAGGACAAAGAUUUGAAGUUGAAGUUGCAGUAGCUACCACCAUCAAACUAGUGGCAUUCUUAGUAGAUGGGAAGUUUGUGGGUGACAACAUCCAUGUGGUUAGAGAUUUUUCCGGAUGUCUUUCCAAAGGAGUUACCAGGGAUGCCACCAGAUAGGAAAGUUGAGUUUGUAAUUGAUCUUCUACCUGGAACUGCUCCUAUAUCUAAACGGCCAUACAAGAUGUCUAUAGAAGAGUUAAAGGAACUUAAGAAACAAUUAACGGAGUUACAAGAGGCUGGGUAUACUCGUUCGGAUUCUUCACCUUGUGGAGCGCCAGUUCUGUUUGUACAGAAGAAAGAUGGAUCACAAAGGAUGUGUGUGGAUUAUAGGUCCCUUAACGAUGUCACUAUGAAGAACAAGUGUCCAUUACCCCGCAUUGAGGAUUUAUUUAAUCGGAUGAGAGGUGCUAGAGUAUUCUCGAAGAUUGAUCUCCGAUCCGGUUACCAUCAGAUGAGGAUUAGACCAUCGGAUAUUUCCAAGACGGCUUUCUCGACUCGAUAUGGAUUAUAUGAGUUUACUGUUAUGUCGUUUGGAUUAACCAAUGCACCAACUUACUUUAUGAACUUGAUGAAUAAGGUGUUUAUGGAGUAUUUGGACAGAUUCGUCGUGGUAUUCAUCGACGAUAUUCUUAUUUAUUCUCAGAGUGAUAGCGAUCAUGAGGAACAUCUAAGGAUGGUGCUACAGAAGCUACGAGAUAACCAGCUAUAUGCCAAGUUCAGCAAGUGCGAGUUUUGGAUUGACGAGGUGCCAUUUCUUGGUCAUAUUAUUUCCAAUGGAGGAAUUUCAGUGGAUCCUGCUAAGGUUAAGGAGAUAAUGGAGUGGAGAGUACCCACUACAGUUACUGAGAUUCGGAGUUUCUUGGGACUUGCUGGAUAUUAUCGGAGAUUUAUUGAAGGAUUUUCUAAGAUUGCUAAGCCUAUGACUUCGCUUUUGGAGAAGGGAAAAGAAUUUAAGUGGGACGAGAAGUGUCAAGACAGCUUUGAUCUAUUGAAGAAGAGGUUGAUGUCGCCACCGGUAUUAGUUAUGCCAGACCUACAGAAAGGAUUUGAUAUCUAUUGUGAUGCAUGUGGCCAAGGCUUAGGAUGUGUGCUCAUGCAAGAAGGACAUGUGAUUGCCUAUGCUUCUCGUCAGUUACGCAAACAUGAAUUGAACUACCCCACUCAUGACUUAGAACUGGCAGCCGUUGUGCAUGCUCUUAAGAUAUGGAGACAUUAUAUCAUGGGAACCAAGUGUCAAGUAUGCAUGGAUCAUAAGAGUUUGAAGUAUAUAUUCACUCAAAAGGAUCUCAACCUUAGGCAACGCCGUUGGUUGGAGCUUAUUAAGGAUUAUGAUUUGGAGAUUCACUAUCACCCGGGCAAGGCAAAUUUGGUUGCAGAUGCCUUGAGUCAAAAGGAGCAUGUUCAUUCAGCUGUUGUUGCCCAGCUACCCGAUGAGAUUGUUGAGGAUUUUAGGAGACUUAACCUGGGGAUAGUUGCUCACACUGAAGGAGUUAUUGAUGUGGAACCUACCUUGGAGCAAGAAAUCCGCAGAAGGACAGAUUGGUGAUGCUAAGAUACAAGAAAUUAGGGAUCUGAUUACUGAAGGUCGAGGUCCAAAAUUCACGGAAGAUGAACAAGGCACUGUGUGGUUCAAGGACAGGAUAUGUGUUCCUGAUAUUGAAAGCCUUCGUGAGACUAUUUUAAAGGAGGCCCAUGACUCGGAUAGUUCUAUUCAUCCUGGCAGUACCAAGAUGUAUCAGGAUUUGAAGCGGAAGUAUUGGUGGUAUGGAUUGAAGAGAGAUGUAGCUGCACAUGUGGCUAUGUGCGAUGUAUGUCAAAGGGUUAAGGCUGAACAUCAGAGGCCAGCUGGACUAUUGCACCCACUGAAGAUACCCGAGUGGAAAUGGGAAGAGAUUGGUAUGGAUUUCAUUACUGGAUUGCCUCGCACCCAGAAAAGAUAUGAUGCUAUAUGGGUGAUUGUGGAUAGAUUGACUAAAGUGGCUCACUUUAUUCCUGUGAAGACUACUUAUAAAGGUUCUCAGCUAGCAGAGUUAUAUAUGGCUCGGAUUGUGUGUUUACAUGGAGUACCAAAGAAGAUCGUGUCUGAUCGAGGUUCACAGUUUACCUCAAGAUUUUGGAGAAGCUUUCACGAGAACAUGAGUACAAAGUUGAAUUUUAGUACGGCUUAUCACCCUCAGACUGAUGGACAGACUGAAAGGACUAAUCAAGUAUUGGAAGAUAUGUUGAGAGCAUGUGCCCUUCAGCAUGGAGGAAGUUGGGAUAAAAGUCUACCUUAUGCUGAGUUCUCUUAUAACAAUAGCCAUCAGGCCAGUCUGAAGAUGUCACCUUUUGAAGCUUUAUAUGGGAGGAAAUGCAGGAUUCCUCUAUUUUGGACCAGACUAGAGGAAGACAGUUCUUUGGACCUGAACUUAUUCAAGAGGCAAAAGAACAAGUUUGUAUAAUUCGAGAGAAUUUGAGGGUAGCUCAGACCAGGCAAAAGAGCUACGCUGAUAAUAGAAGAAGACCACUGGAGUUUAAGGAAAGAAAUCAUGUGUACCUUAAGGUUUCACCACUUCGUGGAAUGAGGAGACUCAAAGUUAAGGGCAAAUUGUCCCCUCGCUAUAUUGGACAUUCUGAGUUUUUUUAGGCAAGUUGGAGAGAUGGCCUAUCAACUUGAGCUACCUGAUAAUCUAUUUGAUGUGCAUAAUGAAUUCCAUGUGUCUCAACUUAAGAAGUGUCUCUGUGCCCCUGAGAAACAGUUACCAAUGGAAGAGCUCAGUGUUCAAGGUGAUUUGACUUACACGGAGUGCCCGAUCAAGAUUCUUGAUACAUUGACUCGAGUUACAAGAAAUAAGGUGAUAAAGAUGUGCAAAGUGCAAUGGAGUCACCACGGUGAAGAUGAAGCAACUUGGGAAAGAGAAGAAGAGCUUCGCAUAGAUUUUCCCCACCUUUUCCCUAGAUCUACCUAAAUCUCGAGGACGAGAUUAUUUUUAAGGGGGGUAGGAUUGUAAUACCUACUUUGUAAGAAAAAUCUAAAAGGAGAAAUGAAAUUCAUGUAUAUAUGUAUGUAUGUUAUCUCUACUUGUCAUUUCAUGUGGACACCUCACCUAUACAAAUGAAUAAGUAAUAAAAGGCACUCAAACAAAUUAUGCAUCAUGCUGGUAUUUUAUUUUGUGUGCACUUUGUGACAACAUAGAAUAAUGUGAAAAGAAUUAUAUUAAUACCCAAAUGGGAAUUUAAGAUCUAAAAGAAAUUCUAGGAUUUGGAAAGCAAGAAAGGAAGAAAAUGAUAGGUGAGUAAAAAUAGUAUAUAAAAAAAAUAAUAAUAAUCAUAAAAAUAUUAUCCCUAUACUAGGAAUUAAAUGUGUACAUUUACUCAAAGGUGCAACUCAUAAAAAUAUUCAAAUUCAAAUGAAUUAGGAAUAAAGAAGAAAGCAGGAAAAAAAAGAAAAAGGAAAAACAAACCCCCAACUGGGCUCACUCUGGCAAUUUCGGCCCAACACCAUUUUUACUCCGCGCCAGCCCACUCUGCUCCUCUUCCUUUUCUUUUCCUGUUGAGACACUUCCAGGUGGGACCAACUCGUCAGAUGCCUUCACUUCAUCUGCGUCGCGCGCUCACAGGCACUGGGUCGCUGACCGUGGGCCCUCUCUGUCGGGUCUAUCCUCCCCACGGAGAUCUCGCUCGCCCGCUUCAAGCUCGCUUCGGUUGACCGUCCAACGGCCGCCGUGCAUGGCGCACUCGCCCCUGUUGACCAUACCCCUGGCCCUACAUACUGGGCGCCCCUAUCUCUACUCCAAAUGGCCUGCUCCGCAAGAAGCCGAGUCCUCUCAUCCACACCGCGCGCCGCCGCCAGACUAUUAGAACUGAUCCGCCGUCGACGAUUCCCGAUUUCCUUCGCUGUGGUGACCUCGGUGCCGACCUGGGAAGCUUCGGAGACUCAGAGCGGAACCAAUCGUGACCACGAUAAGGGCUGGGAGCGUUCUCGGGUCCCCGGAAUUUCUCGCCGAGGCUCUAGCUCCGCCGCAUCACCGCCGCCGUGCGCCAUUAGCGAAUGGGAGAAUUCGCCGUCGCAUCUUCACCAUAUGGUGGCCGCCGGGGAGACCACGUCGUCGGGGACUCUGGGUUCUCCAUUGCCGUGCGCCAGUACUGGAGUGAGGCUCCUCGCCUCUACCUCGCACCGGCGGAUCUCGUGCUGUUGGGCGCGACCAUCGGAUAAUGGUGAAGAUGUCGGAGUUCGGCGCCCGGUUGUGAACUGCGCUCCAAGGUCGGUCGGCUCUCCUCCAUCGGUGGUGAGUACAUUUCCCUCUCCCAAGCCGCCAGUGCCGGUGUGCUGUUUCCUGGUACCGGCGUCGUGUACGUAGGUAGAUGUGGGUAGCGGCGUAAGGAAGAAGAAAACUCCUAGUCGCUGGAAUCUAGAUGUAGGGCUGAGAUUAAAACCUGGAGUAGCAUUUUGCUUUGUAAAGUUUUGGCCGUCGGUGUGAUAAUCUAUGGCUUGGGUUUGGGGAAAGAACUAUGUCCGUAGAUUGGGUUGCCAACGGUUAGGAUUAGAAGGCAUUUACCUCUUUUGGAUUAUUUGAAUCUGUGCCAUCAAUCGUCAAUCGUGCGGUCCGCACUGAUUAUGGGCUCGGUAUCGAUCUAGGCCAUCCGAUCUUGAUCCAGUGGCCCAUAGCGCGUAUCGUUUUGGGGAAUAGAAGAUCUAAUCCGGAGCGUCGAUUGGGGAUCAGACGGCUAGAGUUUACCCGUACCCCUUCGCGGGUCCAUUUUACUUAAGAGCCCCUCGGUUUCAUUGAAAUAAACCCGCCGUCCUACUGCAUAGUGUUCUGAGUCUUAGGAUCUUUUGCGCCUGGGCCCCUGCUGUUCUCAGAAAUGAAGGCCCAGUCCAGAGCUGUUUAAAAUGGAAUAAUUAAAUUGGAAAAUAGGUUUUUAAUACAAAAAUAUAUGCUAGAACUUCAAUAAUUCAUAGAAAAUUCAUAUGAUAUCCAAAAUAAUCCAUUCCACUUUCUAAAUUUUUGUAAUUUUAUUAUUUAUCACUUAGAGCCUCUGUUUGGUCAUGAAAACAGUAAGAAAAGUUAUUUCCCACUUAAUCCCAUUUUAAACACAUAAAAUCUUUGAAAAUCCAUAACUUAAAUUCUAUAACUCCAAAAAUUAUGAUUCCUGUUCCUAGAAUUAUAUUUUAAUAUGUAGAAUAUUGCUGUGUAUUUUGUUCACAUGCUUGGUGUGAUGUUAAUUUUCCCCUGUAUAUUGUGCUUGUUGUAUUGUGGCGAGUAGAAGAGCCCGUGACUGAGGACCCUGGUGAGCAGCAGGUUGAAGUAGCUGAGCAGGAGCUCAUUGAAGGCAAGUUGUGCCCUUGACCACUUUUUACCCAAUAAUGUUCUUUAAUAUCACUUAUCCAUGCAUAGGUUAAUUUUGAUGGGACCCAAUAGGUCACCCUAGAUUGUUUAUCUCAUUACCUUGUUUACCCCUGAAUCACUUGGGUAGUUUGCUAUUGCUUUAUAUGGUUUUGGGAUAAUCAUUUAUUACCUCUAUGUUCCAAUUCUUGUUGUUAUUCUGUUUAUGUUCAUGAUGUUAUCAUUAAUGUUAAUUGGAACAUAGAGCUUAACUUGAGAACCACGUGCCACCACAAGGGUUUAAUGGGACGCCCUUGGCUGACUAAUUAGGAAAUCUAGUGGAAGACUACCUUACCCGAAAGGGGCAAGGGCAGUAGGGGAGAGGUCAGUGCGGGGAGGUCCCUGGUUGAUUUUGCUGCGAUGGCGGUCAGCCAGGAACCCUGUACUGGAUCUUCCCAUAAACUGUAGCGGGUUUUCGGAAGCUAGUGGAACUUUGUAAAGGCCUCGUAGUGUUGCCCUGCCGCGCUUCCUAGGUAGAGGUGUAUGGGAUUCAUGACCCCUUGGCAGAUGGGUAACAUGACUUGUGGGUAAAGGGUACAACCUCUGCAGAGUGUAAAACUGGUAUACUAGCCGAGCUCACGGUCAUGAGCAGCUCAGGACUCUUUGAUGUUUAAAUUAUGGAACUUAAAUUCAAUUUUGUCAUUUGCAUUGCAUGGGUUUGUUAUUAAUUUUGUUCUAUUACUUUACUUAUGGUUUGGUAUUUACUUACACUUAGUAACUGCUAAUAAAAUUUUGACCAACUACUUAAAAGCAAUGCUCAGCUUUAACCCCUAUCAUUGAUCAGCCUUACACUUCACAUGAGCUCCCACCUUUGGUGAGUUCAUGUCACAUUAUUCCCCACAACUUGUUGAGCGAUGAUCAUGUGUGAGCUCACCCUUGCUGUCUCACACCCCCCCCACAGGAGAUGAUCAGGUGGUUCAGGAGGAGCCGCCUAACACUGAGGAGUUCGAUCUGAUCUAGGUGGCGUUUCCCAGUCGACAUUGGCGCCAACGAUCCUUAGUUCGUUUUAUAUUUAUCUUUAUUUUGUAAUAAGACUUCCGCUAUGUAAUAAAUACUCUGAUGUAUUAUGACAUUUAUCUCUAUACACUCUGUCAUUAUAUAUGUUGUCUUCUUGGCGCAUGUAUGAGAUGCACCCGGCUUUGUCCUUUAAAACCGGGUGUUACAUUGCGCAUCUUUACCCACAAGUCAUGUUACCCAUCUGCCAAGAGAUGGCCAAUCCCAUACACCUCUACCGAGGAGGCGAGGCAGGGUAACACUACGAGGCCUUUACAAAGUUCCACUAGCUUCAGACUACCCGCUACAGUUUAUAGGAAGUUCCAAUGCAGGGUUCCUGGCUGACCGCCAUCGCAGCAAAAUCAACCAGGGACCUCCCUACACUGACCACUCCCCUACUGCCCUUGCCCCUUUCGGGUAAGGUAGCCCUCCACUAGCUUUCCUAGUUAAUCAGCCAAGGGCGUCCCAUUAAACCCUUGUGGUAGCACUGUUUUCCCGGGUGGUCGCUCCAUGUUCCCAUUAAUUUAAUGAUCUUAACAUGAACAGUAAUAAUAACAAGAUAAUAACAGGAUAAUCAUGAGUAGUGUAUCUCCAUACUCAAUCCACAUAAAGCAAUAGCAAGUACUACCCAAAAAUAUUUCAGGGGUGAACAAGGUAUAGAGGUAAUCAAAACUGGGGUAACAUUAAGGAUCCCAUCAAAAUUAACCUAUGCAGAUCAUUAAAAUUAAUAAGAACAUGGCUGGGAAAAGUAAGUGAUCAAGGGCACAACUUGCCUGGCACUUGAGAUUCCAGGUACCAACUUGCUUUUCAAAUGACACGUGUCCUCGCGCUAGUCGUAACAAUACAAACAAACAUGGUAUAGAUAAAAUUAACAUCACACCAAACAUAAUAAUAUACUGCAUAAUAAUGAUCCAUGUGUUGCUACGAGACUAACGCAACUUGAACGGAUUAAAUCGGAGUUAAAACGGAGGAGUUAUGAAUUUGCUAGGGUUUUAUGUAUUUGAUACAUGAUUAAUUAUGAGAUCAAUUUUAAUGUGGUUUUCAUGUCAAAACAGAGAUACUAGGUGAUAAAAAAAACAUUAUUACAAAAUUAUAGAAACUGGAAUGGAUAAAUUUGGACUAAAUAUGGAUUUUCUAUGGAAUAAACAAGUUUCUAUCAAUUAUUUAUACACUAAAAAUCUAUUUCUACUUUAUUUUCUCUGAUUUUACAAUGCUCUGGACUGGGCCUCAAUAACAGGGAAAUCUGGGGUUAAGAGCGCAAAAAUGCCUAAGACACAGAGGCAUUCCAGUCGAGGACGGCGGGUUGAUUCUCAUUAAACCCAGGGGCUCUUUUGAAAACUGGUUCACGCGAAGGGGUAUGCUUUUGUCUCAGCCGUCGGAUCCCUCAUCUACGGUUCAGGUUCUAUGUAAUCGCCAUCAAAUCCGGUGCGUUGGUUACGUAUCCGACGCCAUCCAAUCAAGUCUGCCCAAGCGCUCCCCUGCUUCUGAUCGCGAUCGUUAGUCAUCCGAUCGACGGCCCACACGCCGUCAUCAACCCACCGAUGCUCUCUCUCUCUCGUCUGUUUCUUCUCCCGCGGUAACCCGAGUAGCGGCGCCCAGCCAUCCAGCCGCUGGUGAGCUCGCCGCCAGGACGGCGAAAACCCAAGCUCGCAUCUAGUUUACGCCUAACCAACCUCCUUCACGCUACAGAGAGGGAAAGUAGAUCAUACCGCAUGUAGAGACGAGGGAGAGGUUGGCGCGCAGGUUCCCUGCCCGCACCGUGACGGAUUAACCGAGGUUCCAGACGCCGAUUCGUCUAGCCGCCUCCGCCGUCGCCCCGAGAAGUCACGCCGCGCCCGCACUCCUAGCGAUCUCACAAAACGAAGGCGAGAAGACGACAACGGCCGGCGAUGUGCACUCACACUCUCUCUCCUCCGCACUCCCCGGUGAUAACGGACGGUCUCGGCAAUGGCGCUUUGGUUCGCGUCUGUGGUCGGGGAAGCACAGGGGUGCGCACCAUUGGCUUGUAUAGCCUGAGGACUCGGACUCCAGGCGAGGUAGGCGUAACAGCACCGAGAUCCCGGCGUUCGCUCCGCCAUGGUCGUCGGGUUCUGUUGAGGGGAGCGGUCUGGCCGGUUCGGCCCACACUCCAGAGAACGAAGAGGUAACGGGAGUGGGCGGUAACUCCGCUGACGUGUGGGACCCACAGGUCCAUCGGUGAAGGGAGGUGGGCUGGCGCGGGUAAAUGUAGAGUUGCUGGGCCACGCGGAGGAGGAAGCAAGCUGGGCCUGCCGGCCAGAAUUGGGCCCAACCGAGUUCUCCCAGCUCUUCUUCUUUUUACCAUUUCUGAUUUCCUUUCCCUUUCCUUUUCUUGAUUUCAUAUUUAAUUUUGAAUUCUGUCAUGAUCCUCACAUUUGAGCUAAGUAUCCAAAUUCAAAUCCUAGUUUAAGAAUAAUAUAUUUAUCUAUUUAUUUUUAUUUGUAUAAUAUUUUCUUUCUCCUCCUUCCCUUGUUAUUUCUCAUUCUUAAAUAUUCAAAAUAGGUUCUUAAUCCCCAAAUUCAAAUUUAUGUUUUAAUCUAAAUCUUCCCCUCAUUAUAAUAUUUUCAUUUAUAUAUUUUUACCCAUGUUAUUAAGUGCACAAACAAAAACUCCAAUAUAAUGCACUUUAUUUUAUUUUGGAAUUAUUUGUUUCGAUUAAUCCUUCUUAAUUACAUGUGUGCUCUUUUUAUGAUGCAAAUAUGGCACAUGAAAUGAGGAAUUCACUCUGUAUUCUGUGUAUACAAAGUUGAGUAUUACAAAUCCUACCCCCCUUAAAAAUAAUCUCGUCCCCGAGAUUUAGGAAGAUCUAGGGAAAAGGUGGGGAAAAUCUAUGCGAAGCUCUUCUUCUCUUUCCCAAGUUGCUUCAUCUUCAUCGUGGUGACUCCAUUGAACUUUGCACAUCUUUAUAACCUUAUUCCUUGUAACUCAAGUCAAUGUGUCAAGAAUCUUGAUCGGAUACUCCGUGCAAGUCAAAUCACCUUGAACACUACGCUCUUCCAUUGGUAACUGUUCCUCAGGGACACAGAGACACUUUUUAAGUUGAGACACAUGAAAUACAUUAUGCACAUCAGAUAGAUUAUCAGGUAGCUCGAGUUGAUAGGUCAUCUCUCCAACUCGCCUAAAAACUCUGAAUGGUCCAAUAAAGUGAGGGGACAACUUUCCUUUGACUUUAAAUCUUCUCAUACCCCGGAGUGGUGACACCUUCAAAUAGACAUGAUCACCCUCCUUAAACUCCAGUAGUCUUCUCCGGGUAUCAGCAUAACUCUUCUACCUUGAUUGUGCAAUUCUCAAAUUUUCUCUUAUCAUUCGAACUUGUUCUUCUGCCUCUUGAAUAAGUUCAUGUCCAAAGAAUUGUCUUCCUCCAGUCUGGUCCUCAUGUAGAGGAGUCCUGCAUUUCCUGCCAUGUAGAGCCUCGAACGGUGACAUCUUUGGACUGGACUGGUAACUGUUAUUAUAUGAGAACUUAGCAUAAGGUAGACUCUUGUCCCAACUACUACCAUGCUGAAGGGUACAAGCUCUCAACAUGUCUUCCAAUACUUGAUUAGUCCUUUUCAGUCUGAGGGUGAUAAGUUGUGCUAAAAUUCAACUUAUCAUCCGCACUCUCAUGAAAACUUUUCCAAAAUCUGGGGUAAACUGUGAUCCUCUAUCCAAAAUGAUCUUCUUCGAUACACCAUGUAGAGACACAAUCUGAGCCAUAUAUAACUCUGCCAAUUGAGAUACCUUAUAAGUAGUCUUGACCGGAAUGAAAUGAGCCACUUUGGUCAGUCUUUCCACAAUAACCCAUAUAGAAUCAUAUCCUUUCGAGGUGCGAGACAAUCUGGUAAUGAAGUCCUUACCAUUCUCUUUCCACUCCCACUCGGGUAUCUUAAGUGGGUGCGGUAAUCCAGCUGGCCUCUGGUGUUCAGCCUUAACUCUUUGGCACACAUCGCACAUAACCACAUGUGCAGCCACAUCUCUCUUCAAUCCAUACCACCAAUAUUUUUGCUUCAAAUCCUGAUACAUCUUAGUACUCCCAGGAUGAAUAGAAUAAACUGAAUCAUGUGCCUCCUUCAAGAUGGUUUCCCAAAGACUAUCGAUAUCGGGAACGCAGAUCCGAUUCUUGAACCAUAUAGUGCCUUGCUCAUCCUUCGUGAAUUCUGGACCUCGACCUUCAGUAAUCAGAUCCUUAAUCUCUUGUAUCUUAGCAUCACCAAUUUGUCCUUUGCGGAUCUCUUGCUCCAAGGUAGGUUCCACAUCAAUAGUAACUCCUUUAGUGUGAGCAACUAUCCCCAGGUUAAGUCUCUUGAAAUCCUCAACAAUCUCAUCGGGUAGCUGGGCAACAAUAGCUGAAUGAACAUGCUCCUUUCGACUCAAGGCAUCUGCAACCAAAUUCGCCUUGCCCGGGUGAUAGUGAAUUUUCAAAUCAUAGUCCUUAAUAAGCUCCAUCCAAUAGCGUUGCCUAAGGUUGAGAUCCUUCUGAGUGAAUAUGUACUUCAAACUCUUAUGAUCCGUGUAUACUUGGCACUUAGUUCCCAUAAUGUAGUGUCUCCAAAUCUUAAGUGCAUGCACAACUGCUGCCAGCUCUAAGUCAUGAGUGGGGUAGUUCAAUUCAUGUUUCCGCAACUGACGAGACGCAUAGGCGAUCACAUGUCCUUCUUGCAUGAGCACACAUCCUAAUCCUUGGCCACAUGCAUCACAAUAAAUGUCAAAUCCCUUUUGUAGAUCUGGCAUAACCAACAAUGGGGCGACAUCAAUCUCUUCUUUAAUUGAUCAAAGCUUUCUUGGCACUUCUCGUCCCACUUGAAUUCUCUUCCUUUCUCCAAAAGUGAGGUCAUGGGCUUAUCAAACUUAGAAAAUCCUUCAAUAAAUCUCCGAUAGUAUCCUACAAGCCCCAAGAAACUCCGAAUAUCCGUAACUAUAGUGGGUAUGCUCCAUGCCACUAUCUCCUUGACUUUAGCAGGACCCACUAAUAUCCCUCCAUUAGAAAUGAUAUGUCCAAGGAAUGGCACCUUGUUAAUCCAAAACUCACACUUGCUGAACUUAGCAUAAAGUUGAUUAUCUCGCAGCUUCUGUAGCACCAAUCUCAGGUGUUCCUCAUGAUCACUUUCACUCUUAGAAUAGAUAAGAAUAUCGUCCAUAAAUACUACGACGAAUCUGUCCAAAUACUCCAUAAACAUCUUAUUCAUCAAAUCCAUAAAAUAAGCUGGUGCAUUGGUCAAUCCAAAUGACAUAACAGUAAACUCAUAUAAUCCAUAUCGGGUUGAGAAAUCCGUUUUGGGAAUAUCUGAUGGCCUAAUCUUCAUUUAAUGGUAACCCGAUCGGAGAUCAAUCUUCGAGAAUACCCUUGCACCUCUCAUCCGAUUAAAUAAAUCCUUAAUGCGGGGUAAUGGACACUUGUUCUUCAUAGUGACCUCAUUAAGGGAUCUAUAAUCCACGCACAUCCCUUGCGAUCCAUCUUUCUUCUGUAUGAAUUGAACUGGCGCUCCACAAGGUGAAGAACUCGGACGAAUGUACCCAACAUCCUAUAAUUCCGUUAACUGCUUUUUAAGUUCCUUUAGCUCUUCUACGAACAUCAUGUAUGGCCGUUUAGAAAUAGGGGCAGUCCUAGAUAAUUCUUCUGGGAAGACAUCCGGAAAAUCUCUAACCACACGGAUGUUGUCACCAACAAACUUCCCAUCGACUAAGAAUGCCGCUAGUUUGGUGGUGGUAGUUACUGCAACUUCAACUUAAAAUCUUUGUCCUUUGGAACUGGUGAGUUCUAUGGUCCUUUAGCACAGUGUAUAAACUGCCUUUGCCUCUCUUAACCAUGACAUACCAAGGAUCACGUCUAUAGUGCUCUCUUCUAACACUAUAGGGGUAGCCCAUUGGGGUUAGAAAUAUAGGGUAAGAAAGGAAGAAUUGUAGACAAGGCGAGUAAUUAAGAGGAAUAUUACUACGGGGGAUUUAUUAGCUAAGUAGAUUAGUGUGUUAUCCACUAAAGCUAAUACAUUACCUUAUGGUGGUACAUGCUAAGAUGCCCGUCUAUACUAUUUCAAUCAAUCAAAGAAACAAAUCAGACAUUGAUCAUCAGAACAAUCAACCAACAUUUUUAAUAGAGAAAAUAAUUUUAAUUUUAUCUUAGGUUCUCUAUCUCUGGAAAAGUUCAUAGUUGUAGGAUUCCAAGGUGUGAAAUCCAUCUUGUCUUGAAGUAGAAAAUAUAAGAAUAAUCAGAGUAGAACAGUAGAAGGUGAGACAUGAUCAAGAUAAGUGUAGAGAGAAUCAGAGUAAGGUAAGUAUAGAAUGAAUCAGAAGAAGGUAAGUAGGGAAGGUUUUUGUCCAUUUCUAUCUAGGUUUCGUCCUACAGUCAACAUUUCCUUUGAUACCACUUCUGUAACACCCGGUUUUAAAGGACAAAGCCGGGUGCAUCUCAUACAUGCGCCAAGAAGACAACACAUAUAAUAACAGAGUGUAUAGAGAUAAAUGUCAUAAAACAUCAGAGUAUUUAUUACAUAGCGGAAGACUUAUUACAAAAUAAAGAUAAAUAUAAAACAAACUAAGGAUCGUCGGCGCCAAUGUCGACUGAGAAACGCCACCUAGAUCAGAUCAAACUCCUCGAUACUUGGCUCCACUUGAACCACCUGUUCUUCUCCUGUGGGGGGGGGGUGUGAGACAGCAAGAGUGAGCUCACAUACGUUCAUCGCUCAACAAGUCGUGGGGAAUAAUGUGGCAUGAACUCACCAAAGGUGGGAGUUCAUGAAGUGUAAGGCUAAUCAAUGAAAUAAAGGCUGAGGCUGAGCAUUGCUUUUAUAAGUUGGUCAAAAUUUUAUUAGCAAUUACUAAGUGUAAGUAAAUACCAAACAUUAAUAGUAAUAAAGAAAAGUAAUAGUAAAAUAAUCCCAAUGCGAUGCAAAUGUCAAAUUGAAUUUAAGUUCCAUAAUUAAUCAUGUGAGGGUCCGAGCCGCUCAUGACCGUGAGCACGGCUAGUAUACUAGUUUUACACUCUGCAGAGGUUGCGCAUCUUUACCCACAAGUCAUGUUACCCAUCUGCCAAGAGAUGGCCAAUCCCAUACACCUCUACCGAGGAGGCGAGGCAGGGUAACACUACGAGGCCUUUACAAAGUUCCACUAGCUUCAGACUACCCGCUACAGUUUAUAGGAAGUUCCAAUGCAGGGUUCCUGGCUGACCGCCAUCGCAGCAAAAUCAACCAGGGACCUCCCUACACUGACCACUCCCCUACUGCCCUUGCCCCUUUCGGGUAAGGUAGCCCUCCACUAGCUUUCCUAGUUAAUCAGCCAAGGGCGUCCCAUUAAACCCUUGUGGUAGCACUGUUUUCCCGGGUGGUCGCUCCAUGUUCCCAUUAAUUUAAUGAUCUUAACAUGAACAGUAAUAAUAACAAGAUAAUAACAGGAUAAUCAUGAGUAGUGUAUCUCCAUACUCAAUCCACAUAAAGCAAUAGCAAGUACUACCCAAAAAUAUUUCAGGGGUGAACAAGGUAUAGAGGUAAUCAAAACUGGGGUAACAUUAAGGAUCCCAUCAAAAUUAACCUAUGCAGAUCAUUAAAAUUAAUAAGAACAUGGCUGGGAAAAGUAAGUGAUCAAGGGCACAACUUGCCUGGCACUUGAGAUUCCAGGUACCAACUUGCUUUUCAAAUGACACGUGUCCUCGCGCUAGUCGUAACAAUACAAACAAACAUGGUAUAGAUAAAAUUAACAUCACACCAAACAUAAUAAUAUACUGCAUAAUAAUGAUCCAUGUGUUGCUACGAGACUAACGCAACUUGAACGGAUUAAAUCGGAGUUAAAACGGAGGAGUUAUGAAUUUGCUAGGGUUUUAUGUAUUUGAUACAUGAUUAAUUAUGAGAUCAAUUUUAAUGUGGUUUUCAUGUCAAAACAGAGAUACUAGGUGAUAAAAAAAACAUUAUUACAAAAUUAUAGAAACUGGAAUGGAUAAAUUUGGACUAAAUAUGGAUUUUCUAUGGAAUAAACAAGUUUCUAUCAAUUAUUUAUACACUAAAAAUCUAUUUCUACUUUAUUUUCUCUGAUUUUACAAUGCUCUGGACUGGGCCUCAAUAACAGGGAAAUCUGGGGUUAAGAGCGCAAAAAUGCCUAAGACACAGAGGCGUUCCAGUCGAGGACGGCGGGUUGAUUCUCAUUAAACCCAGGGGCUCUUUUGAAAACUGGUUCACGCGAAGGGGUAUGCUUUUGUCUCAGUCGUCGGAUCCCUCAUCUACGGUUCAGGUUCUAUGUAAUCGCCAUCAAAUCCGGUGCGUUGGUUACGUAUCCGACGCCAUCCAAUCAAGUCUGCCCAAGCGCUCCCCUGCUUCUGAUCGCGAUCGUUAGUCAUCCGAUCGACGGCCCACACGCCGUCAUCAACCCACCGAUGCUCUCUCUCUCUCGUCUGUUUCUUCUCCCGCGGUAACCCGAGUAGCGGCGCCCAGCCAUCCAGCCGCUGGUGAGCUCGCCGCCAGGACGGCGAAAACCCAAGCUCGCAUCUAGUUUACGCCUAACCAACCUCCUUCACGCUACAGAGAGGGAAAGUAGAUCAUACCGCAUGUAGAGACGAGGGAGAGGUUGGCGCGCAGGUUCCCUGCCCGCACCGUGACGGAUUAACCGAGGUUCCAGACGCCGAUUCGUCUAGCCGCCUCCGCCGUCGCCCCGAGAAGUCACGCCGCGCCCGCACUCCUAGCGAUCUCACAAAACGAAGGCGAGAAGACGACAACGGCCGGCGAUGUGCACUCACACUCUCUCUCCUCCGCACUCCCCGGUGAUAACGGACGGUCUCGGCAAUGGCGCUUUGGUUCGCGUCUGUGGUCGGGGAAGCACAGGGGUGCGCACCGUUGGCUUGUAUAGCCUGAGGACUCGGACUCCAGGCGAGGUAGGCGUAACAGCACCGAGAUCCCGGCGUUCGCUCCGCCAUGGUCGUCGGGUUCUGUUGAGGGGAGCGGUCUGGCCGGUUCGGCCCACACUCCAGAGAACGAAGAGGUAACGGGAGUGGGCGGUAACUCCGCUGACGUGUGGGACCCACAGGUCCAUCGGUGAAGGGAGGUGGGCUGGCGCGGGUAAAUGUAGAGUUGCUGGGCCACGCGGAGGAGGAAGCAAGCUGGGCCUGCCGGCCAGAAUUGGGCCCAACCGAGUUCUCCCAGCUCUUCUUCUUUUUACCAUUUCUGAUUUCCUUUCCCUUUCCUUUUCUUGAUUUCAUAUUUAAUUUUGAAUUCUGUCAUGAUCCUCACAUUUGAGCUAAGUAUCCAAAUUCAAAUCCUAGUUUAAGAAUAAUAUAUUUAUCUAUUUAUUUUUAUUUGUAUAAUAUUUUCUUUCUCCUCCUUCCCUUGUUAUUUCUCAUUCUUAAAUAUUCAAAAUAGGUUCUUAAUCCCCAAAUUCAAAUUUAUGUUUUAAUCUAAAUCUUCCCCUCAUUAUAAUAUUUUCAUUUAUAUAUUUUUACCCAUGUUAUUAAGUGCACAAACAAAAACUCCAAUAUAAUGCACUUUAUUUUAUUUUGGAAUUAUUUGUUUCGAUUAAUCCUUCUUAAUUACAUGUGUGCUCUUUUUAUGAUGCAAAUAUGGCACAUGAAAUGAGGAAUUCACUCUGUAUUCUGUGUAUACAAAGUUGAGUAUUACAGUAGGCAUGUGUGAUGAUAAAAUAUUUUAAUCACUUCUAUAGAUGUAUGUAUAUUUACGAUAAAGAAAUAUUUAAUUAAUUGUUGAUAUGUAAAAUAUGUGAGAGAAAUAAAAUCAAAUUAGUUCUUUAUGAGCGAUGUAGUAUAAUCUAUAAAACGAGUGAUAAGUUUAGAAGUUAAACAAUUAGCUGAUAAGUUAUGUUUAGGCUAACUGUAUUAAAUGUGUAUAGUUUGUGUUUUAUGAUGUUUGUGUUAGUUUUAAUUAAUUUAGAGAAGCACAAUUAUUACGCUUAGUCGUACGCUGAUAACUAGUGUUUCUGUAUAAGAUAGUUUAACGCCUCGCUGCUAGGUGUUUUAUUCGCUAUCGCGUAGCAUUAUUUAGGUUUGUAAUAUUUCCGUCGAUAUGCAUUCAUGUGCAUAAUGCAUUUCAUUCAGGAACGUUAAUUAAUCGUGCGAUGCAGAAGACAAGCCAAGUUGACCCCCAAGCGUGGGCUAACCCGCAGGAUGAUGCUGAUGAACGGAACUGAAGAUGGAUAAUCUGACGAAUGUCAAGACAAAGGCUACUCGUCAAGCGGACGUCACCUAACAACACUAACCUAGUGUUACUCAGGCAAGCCCCGGUGCAUUUGCCACCUCCUUGUGUUUUAAAAAUAUUUUUCACUUGCUUGAUGCAUAGGUGAUAGGAGUUGAUUGCUAAAACAAUUCAUGCAUUACCUUCCUUGAACUUGAUUACCUUCCUUGAUCACCUGUUUUACAAAAGAUUUUGAUGCUUAGCAUUGCUUUAGAAAAACAAAAUGUUUUGUUUUUACAAAAGUUGAUGUGGCAAAAGUGGGUGGGAUGUUUUCGAAAAUAAAACUUGAUGGUGGAUCCAUCAGGGCCUUGAUGGAUUCAACAUCGGAAAAGAUGUACCUCUGCCAGGUACCAAACUUUGGGUUUUAAAUGAUUAAGCUGAGACCGGGCGGUUGACUUGCACGAGAAAGGAGUCUCGGUGUAGUGUCUCCGUCUGAGUCGAUUAAGGACCGUCUCGAUAUAGGCCUGCUGACCGAGGAUCCUUUAACUGGUCACAUGCCUCGUCAUGGGUAAGCCUUGCCUCAGGCAGACUAAGGCCAGAAUAAGAUAACACGAAAUGGGCGUGGAGCGGUGGCGAGAGUAGCGUGUACCCUCCGUGGCAAGAGGCUGGACGGUGGUGUAUCUGUGCUCUCGGUUUGCGUGAACCUGAUCUGGUCUUAAGAACCCCGGUGGCGGGUUGACAUAUGCAAGGGUUAAGUGCUACAUAUGUCGUGUGAUCGGAGAUCCUCAGCUGAGUAUAAUCGAUUCGGAUCGCCGUACCUUCGCGCUUAUGAAGACUUGGUCACUGACUUACACGUAGCAAUCUAGUGAAGAUGAAGGGUUGAUAAGAAAUUGGCUAGUGCAGGUCAAGUGCUUGAACUAGGGUAGACAGAACUCUAGAUGCAGGUAAUUUUACUUAACCUGACAUUAAAAAUGGAUUUUUAAGGAUCCACUCAUAGUAAGCUUUUCUGCAAAACAGAGUCCUUUAUUCUUGAUAAACCUUUCCUUGAAUCCCUCUAGCCAGCAUACCCUUGAGAGUCUUUUCCUUAGUCGGGUAAGUCUUGCUGAGUAAUUCCGUACUCAGGGUUUUAUUCCCUAUUGUUUUUCAGGUUCUAACCUUGUGCUGCUGUUGAUGGUGUUAAGUGCCGGUGGGCUCGGCCUUCUUAUAAGUCUAAGUAACCCUUCUAUACUUCUUAUUGAGGAUGGUCAUUUGAGCUAGCAUAUAUUUCAAACUUAUACUUUUGUAAUCACUCCGAUAAAAUAAUAUAAAAUUUUUGUAACUUGUAAAAUUUGGUAAUAGAUUUCCGCUGCAACAAUAUUGGUGUGUGUGAUUUGUGUUACUUAAUCCCGCGGUUCUGGUUGAAAUUGGUUUAUCUGAUGUCCUUGGGGCAAUCAGACAGAUCCUGUUGAGUUGUCUGGUGCACAUGCAUGGUCGUCUGAGGUCUUUGGGACAAGGACAGGUGCAUGUGGGCCCAAUAACUUGGAGGUUCUGCCACAGAUAACGUUUGGGAGCAAACUCAAAACGAUAUGAGCAAGGGAACUUUAGAGAGAGGAAAGAGGAAAAACAAAUCAAGUGGUAAUAAAUACAAGUGAACACGGUGAUUUGUUUACCGAGGUUCGGAUCCAAAGAACCUAGUCCCCAUUGAGGAGGCCACAAAGGCCAGGUCUAUUCCAACCCUUUCCCUCUCUCAAUCGGUCACACAGACCGGUCGAGGCUUCUCCUUAAUCACUUGGGUCACUAAGACCCCGCAAGGAUCACCACACACUUAGGUGUCUCUUGCUAGCUUUACAAAGCACUUAGAAGAAUUAGAAUAGGAAGGAGAAAGCAAUCCAAGCAACAAGAGCAACAAAAGAACACAAAACACUCUCUCUCAAGUCACUAAGCAAUUGAGUUGAUUUUGAGACUUGGAGAGGAUUUGAUCUUUGGAAUGUGUCUUGGAGUGAAUGCUAUUGCUCUUGUAUUGAAUGUGAACUUCAGAAAACUUGGAUGCCAUUGAAGGAGGUGGUUGGAGGGUAUUUAUAGCCUCCAACCACUUACUAGUCGUUGGCUGUUUUUGCUGUCGGUGGGCACACCGGACAGGUACUGUUCACUGUUCGGUGCGUGCCACAUCAGCACGCCGUUGGGGGUUUGGAGCAACUUGAGCAUUGGAACCCUUUGUCGUGUAGCUGCACCGGACAGUCCGGUGCCAUGUGCUCUGACUUCUCUGCUCUAACCUCUGACGCACAUUGUUCACUUUGGCAGUCGACCGUUGGCGUCAGGUUACCAUUGCUCCGUUGGCUCACCGGACAUGUCCGGUGCACACCGGACAGUUCGGUGAAUUAUAGUGGAGCGCGCCCUGGAGAAACCCAAGAGUGGUUGGUUUGACUGUUGUUCGGCCUGGGGCACCGGACACUGUCUGGUGUGCCACUGGCAGCACACUCUCAAGUCCUUUGCUCCAAAUUUAUUUGAGUCCGAAUGUAAUUUCUUUCUUGGUUUAUGUUGAACCUUAUGCAUCUGAGAUAAAAGACAUCUUGGCAAACUAAUUAAUCCACGUGGUUUGUGAUGGACGCCAACCAUUAAAAUCGAUUACAGGAAAUAAUUAAACUCAUUUCACUUUUGUCGGGGACCAUAAUUAGGGGUACCCUUAAGACUCCUAAUCUCAGCUGGUAACCCCCAUCAGCACAAAGCUGCAAAGGCCUGAUGGGCGCGAUUAAGGUCAAGGCUCAGUCCACUCAAGGGACACGAUCUCGCCUCGCCCGAGCCCAGCCUCGGGCAAAGGCAGCCGACCCCGGAGGAUUCACGUCUCGCCCGAGGGCCCCCUCAAGCAACGGACGCACCUUCGGCUCGCCAGAGGCCCAGUCUUCGCAGAGGAGCAACCUUGGCCAGAUCGCCACGCCAACCGACCAUAUCGCAGGAGCAUUUAAUGCAAGGAUCGCCUGACAUCUUAUCCUGACGCGCGCUCCAGUCGACAAGGCCGAAGUGACCGCAGAAACUUCGCCGCUCCACCGACCGACCUGACAGGAAUACAGCGCCGCCUGCCCUGCUCCGACUGCCGUGCCACUCGCCAGAGUGAGGUCGACAACAGCUAAGUCCAGCCUCGGGCGACAUAGGAAGCUCCGCCUCGCCCGACCCCAGGGCUCGGCCCCCCGUCUCGGCCUCGGAAGAUGGACUUCGCCUCGCCCGACCCUAGGGCUCGGACUCGGCCUCGGCUCCGGAAGACGACGAACUCCGCCUCGCCCGACCCCAGGGCUCGGACUCGGCCUCGGCUCUGGAAGACGACGAACUCCGCCUCGCCCGACCCCAGGGCUCGGACUCGGCCUCGGUUCCGGAGGACGACGAACUCUGCCUCGUCCGACCCUAGGGCUCGGACUCGGCCUCGGCUCCGGAAGACGACGAACUCCGCCUUGCCCGACCCUAGGGCUCGGACUCGGCCUCGGCUCCGGAAGACGACAAACUCCGCCUCGCCCGACCCCAGGGCUCGGACUCGACCUCGACUCCGGAAGACGGCGAACUCCGCCUCGCCCGACCCCAGGGCUCGGACUCAACCUCCACCUCAGAGGAAUUGCCACCUCGCCCAAACUCGGGUCUGGACCAGCCACGUCACUAGGGGGGCCAUCAUUACCCUACCCCUAGCUAGCUCAGGCUACGGGGAACAAGACCAGUGUCCCAUCUGGCUCGCCCCGGUAAACAAGUAAUGAUGACGCCCCGCACGCUCCAUGACGGCGGCAGCUCCCAGCCCCUUAUGUCAGCAAGGAGACGUCAGCAAGGACCCGACAGCCCCGACAGCUGUACUUCCGCAGGGCUCCAGCACUCCUCCGACGGCCACGACAUCACAUGAACAGGGUGCCAAAACCUCUCCGACUGCCACGACGGCAUGUACUUAGGGCUCUAGCUCCUCUCUGUUGGACACGCUAGCACAUUGCUACACCCCCCUGUACACCUAGGCCCUCUCCUUACGUCUAUAAAAGGAAGGUCCAGGGCUCUCGUACGAAGAGGUUGGCCGCGCGGGAGAACGGGAAGACGCGUAAGGCUCUCUCUCUCUCUCUCUCUCCCACGCGAACGCUUAUAACCCCCUACUGCAAGCGCACCGAGCCGCCCUGGGCGCAGGACAACACGAAGGCCGCGGUUUCCCCUCGCUGUUCUCCCCCCUUUGUGUCCUGUCUCGCGCCGACCCAUCUGGGCUGGGGCACGCAGCGACAAUUUACUCGUCGGUCCAGGGACCCCCCGGGGUCGAAACGCCGACAGUUGGCGUUGCCAGGUAGGGGCCUGUUGCGUGUUGACGAACAGCUUCCCGUCAAGCUCCAGAUGGGUAGUCCCCAGCAACCUUUCCAACCCGGGACGACGCUCCGUUUCGGGAGUCUCGAGUUCAUGUCUCUCAACGGCAGCUACGACAUGGUACUCCUUCUUCCGUCGCGCGACGACGACAAUGGCGGCCGUCAGCCCGCCCGCCGGCGGCGGAAUCGACGACGUCUUCCUCACGUGGCGGAAGAGCAACAUUCAGUUCUGUCCCGUCGCCUCCCCCGCCGAUGGAGGAGGAGGCGGGGCAGGCAUGGCCAAGCAGGGGGCGACACCUCGUCGGCUGUCGAGCGAGUCGACGGCGCCGGCGCCCCAGCGGGGGACACGCCGGGCGUUGACCUCGCGUCGGAGAUGAAGACGAGCGCCGUUUCCCCGCAACACGCCAACAUCGAGCUGACGGAUGAUGCCAGCACGCUCACGAAGGGCUUGAUGGGCAUCUGAAAGGGAAAUGUGCCCUUGGGCCAUUUCUAAGUAUUUUGGUGAUUGAGUGUCAACACAAGUGUUUAAAUGUGAAUCUAUGCCCAUGGGUGAACAAAGUGCAAAUCAAGAGCAAAGGUAUGUUUCUAAGUCUUAGUACAUUGGUUUUGUGUACUAAUAUAUUUGUCUAAGUGUUAGAAACAGAAAGAAGAAGAAAAGAGAAGAGUUGGCUAUGUACAGCCAAAAGGCUGGUUCGGUCUGGGGCACCGGACUGUCCGGUGGUGCACCGGACAGUGUCCGGUGCGCCAGGCUGGCUCGAGCGAAGUGGCCGCUCACGGGAAUUCGCCGACGGCGUACGGCUAAAAUUCACCGGACUGUCCGGUGUGCACCGGACUGUCCGGUGAGCCAACUGUCGGCCGGGCCAACGGUCGGCCGCGCGAUCUGCGCGGGACACGUGGCCGAGCCAACGGUCGGAAGGGGGCACCGGACUGUCCGGUGUGCACCGGACAUGUCCGGUGCGCCAACGGCUCCCAGAUCUGCAACGGUCGGCUUCGCCAAUUAAGGAAAGGAAUCGGGCACCGGACACUGUCCGGUGUGCACCGGACUGUCCGGUGCGCCCGACGACAGAAGGCAAAGAUGGCCUUCCAGAUUUGUUCUCAACGGCUCCUAGCUGCCUUGGGGCUAUAAAAGGGACCCCUAGGCGCAUGGAGGGAUACACCAAGCAACCUUUGAGCAUUCUUGAUCAUCCACACUCAGUCUUUGCGCAUCCGUUUGUUAUUCUAAGUGAUUCGAGCUCCGUUCUUGUGAGAACUUUGAGUUAGUCUUUGAGCUCGAUUCUUGGCCGUGUGUGUGCGCAUUUCGCUGUGGAUUUGUGUGUGUUGCUUCCCUCCCUUACUCCGUGUUUCUUUGUGAACUUUACGUGUAAGGGCGAGAGACUCCAAUUUGUGGAGAUUCCUCGCGAGUGGGAUAAAGAUAAGCAAGGCAAAACACCGUGGUAUUCAAGUGGGUCUUUGGACCGCUUGAGAGGGGUUGAUUGCAACCCUCGUCCGUUGGGACGCCACAACGUGGAGUAGGCAAGUUUUGUACUUGGCCGAACCACGGGAUAAAUCACCAUGUCUUCUCUGUGUUGAAUUCUUUGUGAUUGUCGUAUUGUGCAAGAUCUCCUCUUUAGCCACUUGGCAAUUAUUGUGCUAACCCUUAACAAGUUUUUGUGGCUAUAAGUUUAAGUUUUUACAGGAUCACCUAUUCAUCCCCCCCUCUAGGUGCUCUCAAUUGGUAUCGGAGCCGUUCUCUUCAAGAAAGGGACUAACCGCCCGAAGAGAUGGAUCCUAAGGGGAAGGGAAUCGUGAUCAACGACAAGGAAAAGGAGUCCUUCGUCAACGAGCCAAAAGAUGACAAAUCCAACGACUCUGGCUCGGGCCACAGACGUAAAGAUGGGAAGAAGAAAAAGACAAGACGUAUCAAGGAGAUCGUCUACUACGACAGCGACGAGUCUACUUCUUCCCACAAGGACGACGACUACGACAAACAAAAGACGGUUAACUCAAACUUCUUUUUUGAUUAUUCGCGCAUUCCGCACAGCUCAAAUGCUCAUUUGCUCCCCAUUCCACUUGGCAAGCCUCCUCACUUUGAUGGAGAGGACUACGGAUUUUGGAGUCACAAAAUGCGUACACACCUAUUUUCUCUCCAUCCAAGCAUUUGGGAGAUUGUGGAAAGUGGAAUGAAAUUUGAUAGCUCGGAUAGUCCUUCAUUUAUUAAUGAACAGAUCCAUAAAAAUGCACAAGCUACUACUGUGUUGCUAGCCUCUUUGUGCAGGGAUGAGUAUCACAAGGUGAGCGGCUUGGACAAUGCCAAGCAGAUUUGGGACACCCUCAAGAUCUCUCAUGAGGGGAAUGAUGUCACCUUACUCACCAAGAUGGAGUUGGUGGAGGGCGAGCUCGGACGAUUCGCGAUGAUAAGGGGCGAGGAGCCGACGCAAACAUACAACCGACUCAAGAUCCUUAUCAACAAAAUAAGGAGCUACGGAAGCACGCGAUGGACGGAUCACGACGUCGUCCGCCUAAUGCUAAGGUCAUUUACCGUUCUUGAUCCUCAUCUCGUGAACAAUAUUCGUGAGAAUCCCAGGUACACGAAGAUGACGCCCGAGGAGGUACUCAGAAAAUUCGUAAGCGGGCGAAUGAUGAUCAAGGAGGCAAGAUACGUGGACGACGCCUUGAAUGGACCAAUCAACGAGCCUCAACCCCUUGCUCUCAAGGCAACAAGAAGCAAGGAGGCGCUACCUAACAGGGUGGCACAAAUAGAGGCAGCCGGACUUAAUGAUGAAGAGAUGGCCCUCAUCAUCAAAAGAUUCAAGACGGCGCUUAAAGGUCGCAAGGGACAGCCAAGCAAGACCAAAGCCAAGGGGAAGCGUUCGUGCUUCAAAUGCGGUAAGCUUGGUCAUUUUAUUGCUAACUGUCCCGACAAUGAUAGUGAUCAGGACCAAGGGAACAAGAGGGAGAAGAAGAAGAAUUAUAAGAAGGCAAAGGGCGAGGCUCAUCUUGGCAAGGAGUGGGAUUCGGACUGCUCCUCGUCUGACUCCGACAAUGAGGGACUCGCCGCCACUGCAUUCAACAAGUCAUCCCUCUUCCCCAACGAGCGUCACACUUGCCUCAUGGCAAGAGAGAAGAAGGUAAUCACUCGUAAUGAUGUCACUUAUGAUUCUUCUAGUGACGAUGAGUCUAGUGAUGAUGAAAUAGAUUAUUCUAGUUUGUUCAAGGGAUUAGAUAGAAAUAAAAUUGAUAAAAUUAAUGAAUUGAUUGAUGCCUUGAAUGAAAAGGAUAGGCUUUUAGAAAAGCAAGAGGAUUUAUUGUAUGAUGAACAUGAUAAGUUUGUAGAGGCACAAAAAUCCUAUGCUUUAGAAGUUAAAAGAAAUGAAGUGCUUUCUAGUGAAUUAUCUUCUUGUCAUGAAAACAUUGCUACUUUAAAGAGUGUUAAUGAUGACUUAAAAACUAAACUAGAAGUAGCUAGUAAAUCAACAUCCUGUGUAGAAAUUGUUGAAACGUGCACUAGAUGUAAAGAUCUUAAUGUUGAUGCUUGUAGCAAACAUCUAGUCUCAAUUUCUAAAUUGAAUGAUGAAGUGGUAGUCUUAAUGCUCAACUUCAGGCUAGCAAAAGCGAAUUUGAUAAGCUAAAAUUUGCAAGGGAUGCCUACACGAUUGGUAGACACCCCUCAAUUAAGGAUGGACUUGGCUUCAAAAGGGAAGCCAAGAACUUAACAAGCCAUAAGGCUCCCAUUCCCGCUAAGGAGAAAGGGAAGGCCCCUAUGGCUACUAGUGCUAAAAAGAACCAUGCCUUUUUGUAUCAUGAUAGGAAAAAUUCUAGAAAUGCUUUUAGAAGUUAUGAUUCACAUGCUUAUGAUUCUUAUGCUAUGACUGCUUCUAGUUCUCAUGUUGUGCAUGAUAGAAAGGUUGGUAGGAGAAAUGUUGUUAAUGCUCAUAGGAAAGUUCAUGGACCUUCUACAAUUUAUCAUGCCCUAAAUGCUUCCUUUGCUAUUUGUAGAAAGGAUAGGAAAAUAGUUGCUAGGAAGUUAGGGGCAAAAUGCAAGGGAGACAAAACUUGCAUUUGGGUCCCUAAGGAAAUUUGCACUAACCUUGUAGGACCCAACAAGAGUUGGGUACCUAAGUCCCAAGCCUAAAUUUGCCUUGCAGGUUUAUGCAUCCGGGGGUUCAAGCUGGAUUAUCGACAGCGGAUGCACAAACCAUAUGACGGGGGAGAAGAAGAUGUUCACCUCCUACGUCAAGAAUAAGGAUUCCCAAGAUUCAAUUAUAUUCGGUGAUGGGAAUCAAGGCAAGGUAAAAGGGUUAGGUAAAAUUGCAAUUUCUAAUGAGCAUUCUAUCUCUAAUGUAUUUUUAGUAGAGAGUCUUGGAUAUAAUUUGCUAUCUGUUAGUCAAUUAUGUCAUAUGGGAUAUAACUGUCUAUUUACAAAUGUAGAUGUGUCUGUCUUUAGAAGAAGUGAUGGUUCACUAGCUUUUAAGGGUGUAUUAGACGGCAAACUUUAUUUAGUUGAUUUUGCAAAAGAAGAGGCCGGUCUAGAUGCAUGCUUAAUAGCUAAGACUAGCAUGGGCUGGUUGUGGCAUCGCCGCUUAGCACAUGUGGGGAUGAAGAACCUUCACAAGCUUCUAAAGGGAGAACAUGUGAUAGGUCUAACCAAUGUUCAUUUCGAAAAAGAUAGACCUUAUGCAGCUUGUCAAGCAGGUAAACAAGUGGGAGGAGCACAUCACAGCAAGAAUGUGAUGACCACAUCAAGACCCCUGGAGCUGCUACACAUGGACCUCUUCGGACCCGUCGCCUAUCUGAGCAUAGGAGGAAGUAAGUAUGGUCUAGUUAUUGUUGAUGACUUUUCCCGCUUCACUUGGGUGUUCUUUUUGCAGGAUAAGUCUGAAACCCAAGGGACCCUCAAGCGCUUCCUCAGGAGAGCUCAAAAUGAGUUUGAGCUCAAGGUGAAGAAGAUAAGGAGCGACAACGGGUCGGAGUUCAAGAACUUGCAAGUGGAGGAGUUCCUUGAGGAGGAAGGGAUCAAGCACGAGUUCUCCGCUCCCUACACACCACAGCAAAAUGGUGUGGUAGAGAGGAAGAACAGGACGCUAAUCGACAUGGCGAGGACUAUGCUUGGAGAAUUCAAGACCCCCGAGCGUUUUUGGUCGGAAGCCGUGAACACAGCUUGCCACGCCAUCAACAGGGUCUACCUUCACCGCCUCCUCAAGAAGACGGCAUAUGAGCUUCUAACCGGUAACAAACCCAAUGUAUCGUACUUUCGUGUAUUUGGGAGCAAGUGCUACAUUCUAGUGAAGAAGGGUAGAAAUUCUAAAUUUGCUCCCAAAGCAGUAGAAGGGUUUUUGUUAGGUUAUGACUCAAAUACAAAGGCGUAUAGAGUCUUCAACAAAUCAUCGGGUUUGGUUGAAGUCUCUAGCGACGUGGUAUUUGAUCAGACUAAUGGCUCUCCAAGAGAGCAAGUUGUUGAUCUUGAUGAUGUAGAUGAAGAAGACGUUCCAACGGCCGCUAUGCGCACCAUGGCGAUUGGUGAUGUGCGACCACAGGAACAAUUGGAGCAAGAUCAACCUUCUUCCUCAACUAUGGUGCAACCCCCAACCCAAGACGAUGAACAGGUUCAUCAACAGGAGGCGUGUGAUCAAGGAGGAGCACAAGAUGAUCAUGUGAUGGAGGAAGAUGCGCAACCGGCACCUCCAACCCAAGUCCGAGCGGUGAUUCAAAGGGAUCAUCCUGUCGACCAAAUUCUGGGUGACAUUAGCAAGGGAGUAACUACUCGAUCUCGAUUAGUUAAUUUUUGUGAGCAUUACUCCUUUGUCUCUUCUAUUGAGCCUUUCAGGGUAGAGGAGGCCUUGCUAGAUCCGGACUGGGUGUUGGCUAUGCAGGAGGAGCUCAACAACUUCAAGCGCAAUGAAGUUUGGACACUGGUGCCUCGUCCGAAGCAAAAUGUUGUGGGAACCAAGUGGGUGUUCCGCAACAAACUGGACGAGCACGGGGUGGUGACGAGGAACAAGGCUCGACUUGUGGCAAAAGGUUAUGCCCAAGUCGCAGGUUUGGACUUUGAGGAGAGUUUGCUCCUGUGGCUAGGCUAGAAUCAAUUCGUAUCUUGCUAGCAUAUGCCGCUCACCAUUCUUUCAGGUUGUACCAAAUGGAUGUGAAGAGCGCUUUCCUCAACGGGCCAAUCAAGGAGGAGGUGUACGUGGAGCAACCCCCUGGCUUCGAGGAUGAACGGUACCCCGACCACGUGUGUAAGCUCUCUAAGGCGCUCUAUGGACUUAAGCAAGCCCCAAGAGCAUGGUAUGAAUGCCUUAGAGACUUCUUAAUUGCUAAUGCUUUCAAGGUUGGGAAAGCCGAUCCAACUCUUUUUACAAAGACAUGUGAUGGUGACUUGUUUGUGUGCCAAAUUUAUGUCGAUGACAUAAUAUUUGGUUCUACUAACCAAAAGUCUUGUGAAGAGUUUAGCAGGGUGAUGACGCAGAAAUUCGAGAUGUCGAUGAUGGGCGAGUUGAACUACUUCCUUGGGUUCCAAGUGAAGCAACUCAAGGACGACACCUUCAUCUCCCAAACAAAGUACACGCAAGAUCUGCUAAAGAGGUUUGGGAUGAAGGACGCCAAGCCCGCAAAGACUCCGAUGGGGACCGACGGACACACCGACCUCAACAAAGGAGGUAAGUCCGUUGAUCAAAAAGCAUACCGGUCAAUGAUAGGUUCUUUGCUUUACUUAUGUGCUAGUAGACCGGAUAUUAUGCUUAGCGUAUGCAUGUGUGCUAGAUUUCAAUCCGAUCCUAAGGAGUGUCACUUAGUGGCGGUGAAGCGAAUUCUUAGAUAUUUGGUUGCUACGCCUUGCUUCGGGCUCUGGUAUCCAAAGGGGUCUACUUUUGACUUAGUUGGAUACUCAGACUCCGACUAUGCUGGAUGUAAGGUUGAUAGGAAGAGUACAUCGGGGACGUGCCAAUUCUUAGGAAGGUCCCUGGUGUCAUGGAACUCUAAGAAACAAACCUCCGUUGCCCUAUCCACCGCUGAGGCCGAGUACGUUGCCGCAGGACAGUGUUGCGUGCAACUACUUUGGAUGAGGCAAACCCUCCGGGACUUUGGCUACAAUCUGAGCAAAGUCCCACUCCUAUGUGACAAUGAGAGUGCUAUCCGCAUGGCGGAGAAUCCUGUUGAGCACAGCCGCACAAAGCACAUAGACAUCCGGCAUCACUUUUUGAGAGACCACCAGCAAAAGGGAGAUAUCGAAGUGUUUCAUGUUAGCACCGAGAACCAGCUAGCCGAUAUCUUCACUAAGCCUCUAGAUGAGAAGACCUUUUGCAGGUUGCAUAGUGAGCUAAAUGUCUUAGAUUCGCGGAACCUGGAUUGAAUUGUAGCAUACAUGUAUUUAUGCUUUUGAUCAUGUUCCUUUUUGCAUUUUGUUGCUUAUUAUGGUGCUCAAGUUGUACAAACACUCCCUGGACCUCACAAGUCCGUUGCAAAAUGAUGCACAUGUUUAGGGGGAGAUGUGUUACAACUUGACCCUUUGAGACUAACCAUGUGUUUGAGUUCGAUGAUUUAGUCUCGAAGGAGGAUUGAAAGGGAAAAGGUGGACUUGGAUCAUGAAAGACUUCCACUGCACUCCGAUGAGAGGGUAACUUAUUCCAAGUUCAUCUUUAGACUCUUAUUGCCUUUGUAUUCUUAUUGAAGAUUUUGGUGAGGCAAUGGGGUUAAAAGGGCCAAGAUUGAUCCCGUUUUGGUGCUUGAUGCCAAAGGGGGAGAAAAUAAAGGCUAAAGCGAUAAAUGGAUCAGCUACCACUUGAGAGAUUUUGAAAAUAGUAGAAUAGAGUUUUUGUUUUGUUAAACUCUUUUAUUGUCUCUUAUUGUCUCUCUUGUCAAAAGUUGGCUUCUUGUGGGGAGAAGUGUUGAUUAUGGGAAAUAGGGGGAGUUUUUGAAAUCUUUGAUCAAUCUCUUUUGGAAUGACUCUCUUUAUGCUUCAACAUGUGUGUUUGACUUAGAGAUAGAGAUUUGAGUUUGAUUUGCAAAAACAAACCAAGUGGUGGCAAAGGAUGAUCCAUAUAUGCCAAAAUUGAAUCAAAAUCAAUUUGAGUUUUAUUUGAAGUAAUUUUGCACUUGUUCUAGUUGCUUUAUGUUGUGUUGGCAUAAAUCACCAAAAAGGGGGAGAUUGAAAGGGAAAUGUGCCCUUGGGCCAUUUCUAAGUAUUUUGGUGAUUGAGUGUCAACACAAGUGUUUAAAUGUGAAUCUAUGCCCAUGGGUGAACAAAGUGCAAAUCAAGAGCAAAGGUAUGUUUCUAAGUCUUAGUACAUUGGUUUUGUGUACUAAUAUAUUUGUCUAAGUGUUAGAAACAGAAAGAAGAAGAAAAGAGAAGAGUUGGCUAUGUACAGCCAAAAGGCUGGUUCGGUCUGGGGCACCGGACUGUCCGGUGGUGCACCGGACAGUGUCCGGUGCGCCAGGCUGGCUCGAGCGAAGUGGCCGCUCUCGGGAAUUCGCCGACGGCGUACGGCUAAAAUUCACCGGACUGUCCGGUGUGCACCGGACUGUCCGGUGAGCCAACUGUCGGCCGGGCCAACGGUCGGCCGCACGAUCUGCGCGGGACACGUGGCCGAGCCAACGGUCGGAAGGGGGCACCGGACUGUCCGGUGUGCACCGGACAUGUCCGGUGCGCCAACGGCUCCCAGAUCUGCAACGGUCGGCUUCGCCAAUUAAGGAAAGGAAUCGGGCACCGGACACUGUCCGGUGUGCACCGGACUGUCCGGUGCGCCCGACGACAGAAGGCAAAGAUGGCCUUCCAGAUUUGUUCUCAACGGCUCCUAGCUGCCUUGGGGCUAUAAAAGGGACCCCUAGGCGCAUGGAGGGAUACACCAAGCAACCUUUGAGCAUUCUUGAUCAUCCACACUCAGUCUUUGCGCAUCCGUUUGUUAUUCUAAGUGAUUCGAGCUCCGUUCUUGUGAGAACUUUGAGUUAGUCUUUGAGCUCGAUUCUUGGCUGUGUGUUUGCGCAUUUCGCUGUGGAUUUGUGUGUGUUGCUUCCCUCCCUUACUCCGUGUUUCUUUGUGAACUUUACGUGUAAGGGCGAGAGACUCCAAUUUGUGGAGAUUCCUCGCGAGUGGGAUAAAGAUAAGCAAGGCAAAACACCGUGGUAUUCAAGUGGGUCUUUGGACCGCUUGAGAGGGGUUGAUUGCAACCCUCGUCCGUUGGGACGCCACAACGUGGAGUAGGCAAGUUUUGUACUUGGCCGAACCACGGGAUAAAUCACCGUGUCUUCUCUGUGUUGAAUUCUUUGUGAUUGUCGUAUUGUGCAAGAUCUCCUCUUUAGCCACUUGGCAAUUAUUGUGCUAACCCUUAACAAGUUUUUGUGGCUAUAAGUUUAAGUUUUUACAGGAUCACCUAUUCACCCCCCUCUAGGUGCUCUUAGCAUCGCCCUCGUACCUGAGACAACGGUGCAGUCCGCCCCUGACGUGACUUCGUCACCACCCGUCGAUCAAGAGGUACCGUCCGUUUUCCAUCCCAUGCCUUUCAGAUUCAGCUUCGAUCCACCAAGCGACCCCGCUUCGGUGGAGGCUUUCGCAAAGGCAUGUCCAAACCCUCCAGGGUACCAUGUGCGGUCACCCUGGGACAGACUGACGACCGUCUUGACCUACGGGCCCUCGGGUUCCGAGGAAGAUGACGAGCCCGACUCUGGUUGGGAUUUCUCCGGGCUUGGUAACCCCAGUACCAUGCGAGACUUCAUGACCGCAUGUGACUACUGCCUCUCCAAUUGUUCCGAUGGUAGCCACAGCCUCGGUGACGAGGACUGUGGUCCAAGUCGCGAAUGUUUCCACGUCGAUCUAGGGGGUCUCGGCGAAGGUAACCAUCUUGGUAUGCCGGAGAACAGCGAUCCCCCUAGGCCUGCGCCUCGCGUUGACAUCCUUCGGGAGCUAGCUGUGGUCCUAGUCCCUGCGGGGGGGGGGGGGGGGGGGUCAGGACGCACAGCUCGAGCAAAUCCGCGAGAUGCAGGCCAGGCUCGACGAGGAGGCAGGAACACUUGCGUAGCCUCGGCUGAACCUCGGACAGGAGUGGGCAGGCCGAGCUCUGGCCGGAGAAGCGCGUCAUCUGGCCCAGGACGUCCAGCACUGCAUCGCCGACGAUACCAGGCCAAGGCUGCCCCCGGUUUCCAGUGGGGUCGGCCAGAACCUGGCUACAGCUGCGAUACUACUCCGAGCGAUGUCGGAACCCUCCACCACUGAGGGGCGACGUAUCCAGGGAGAGCUCAAGAACCUCCUGGAAGAUGCCGCGGUCCGACGGGCCGAAAGCUCUGCCUCCCGAAGGCAGGGGUACCCCCGGAGCAUCGCGCCGCGACUUCCGGAUUCGUGCGAGAAGCCUCGGUCCACACCGGGCGCACGCGCAACACGGCGCCUGCGGCCCUGGGUCGCCUCGGCAACAAGCACCACCACCGCAACCGUCGAGCCCACCUCGACGAAAGGGUGCGCCGAGGCUACCACCCCAGGCGUGGAGGACGCUACGACAGCGGGGAGGAUCGGAGCCCCUCGCCCGAACCACCCGGUCCGCAGGCUUUCACCCAGGCCAUACGACGGGCGCCGUUCCCGACCCGGUUCCGAACCCUGACUACCAUCACAAAGUACUCGGGGGAGACGAGGCCGGAACUGUGGCUCGCGGACUACCGACUGGCCUGCCAGCUGGGUGGAACAGACGAUGACAACCUCAUCAUCCGCAACCUCCCCCUAUUCCUCUCCGACACCGCUCGAGCCUAGCUGGAGCAUCUGCCUCCGGGGCAGAUCUCCAACUGGGACGACCUGGUCCAAGCCUUCGCUGGCAACUUCUAGGGCACGUACGUGCGCCCUGGGAACUCCUGGGAUCUCCGAAGCUGCCACCAGCAGCCGGGAGAGUCUCUCCGGGACUACAUACGGUGAUUCUCGAAGCAGUGCACCGAGCUGCCCAACAUCACUGAUUCCGAUGUCAUCGGCGCGUUCCUCGCCGGCACCACCUACCGCGACCUGGUGAGCAAGCUGGGUCGCAAGACCCCCACCAGGGCGAACGAGCUGAUGGACAUCGCCACCAAGUUCGCCUCUAGCCAGGAGGCGAUUGAGGCCAUCUUCUGGAAGGACAAGCAGCCCCAGGGCCGCCAGCCGGAAGACGUCCCCGAGGCAUCCGCUUAGCGCGGCGCCAAGAAGAAGAACAAGAAGAAGUCGCAAGCGAAACGCGACGCCACCGACGCAGACCUUGUCGCCGCCGCUGAGUACAAGAACCCUCGGAAACCUCCUGGAGGUGCCAAUCUCUUCGAUAAGAUGCUCAAGGAGCCGUGCCCCUAUCAUCAGGGGCCCGUCAAGCACACUCUUGAGGAGUGUGUCAUGCUUCGGCGCCACUUUCACAAGGCCUGGCCACCGGCGGAAGGUGGCAGGGCCCACAACAACGACAAGAAGGAGGACCACAAUGCAGAGGAGUUUCUCGAGGUCCACGACUGCUUCAUGAUCUACGGUGGGCAAGUGGCGAACGCCUCGGUCGGCACCGCAAGCAAGAGCGUCGGGAGGUCUGCUCGGUAAAGGUGGCGGCGCCAGUCUACCUAGACUGGUCCGACAAGCCCAUCACCUUCGACCAGGGCGACCACCCCGACCGCGUGCCGAGCCCAGGGAAAUAUCCGCUCGUUGUCGACCCCGUCAUCGGCAACGUCAGGCUCACCAAGGUCCUCAUGGACGGAGGCAGCAGCCUCAACAUCAUCUACGCCGAGACCCUUGGGCUCCUGCAGAUCAAUCUGUCCUCGAUCCGGGCAGGCGCGGCGCCUUUUCACGGGAUCAUCCCCGGGAAACGCGUCCAACCCCUCGGACAACUCGAUCUGCCCGUCUACUUCGGGACUCCCUCCAACUUCCGAAGGGAAACCCUCACGUUCGAGGUGGUCGGGUUCCGAGGAACCUACCACGCAGUGCUGGGGAGACCAUGUUACGCCAAGUUCAUGGCCGUCCCCAAGUACACCUACCUCAAGCUCAAAAUGUCGGGCCCCAACGGGGUCAUCACCGUCGGCCCCACGUACCGACACGCGUACGAAUGCGACGUGGAGUGCGUGGAGUACGCCGAGGCCCUCGCCGAAUCCGAGGCCCUCAUCGUCGACAUGGAAAGCCUCCCCAAGGAGGUUCCAGAUGCGAAGCGCCAUGUCGGCAACUUCAAACCAGCAGAGGCGGUUAAAUCCGUCCCUCUCGACCCCAGCAACGACACCUCCAAGCAGAUACGGAUCAGCUCCGAGCUCGACCCCAAAUAGGAAGCAGUGCUCGUCGACUUUCUCCGCGCAAACGCCGAUGUUUUCGCGUGGAGUCUCUCGGACAUGCCUGGCAUACCGAGGGAUGUCACCGAGCACUCGCUGGAUAUCCGAGCUGGAGCCCGACCCGUGAAGCAGCCUCUGCGCCGAUUCGACGAAGAAAAGCGCAGAGCCAUAGACGAGGAGAUUCACAAGCUGAUGGCCGCUGGGUUCAUCAAAGAGGUAUUCCAUCCCGAAUGGCUUGCCAACCCUGUGCUUGUGAGAAAGAAAGGAGGGAAAUGACGGAUGUGUGUAGACUACACUGGUCUAAACAAAGCAUGUCCGAAGGUUCCCUACCCUCUACCUCGUAUCGAUCAAAUCGUGGAUUCCACUGCUGGGUGCGAAACCCUGUCGUUCCUCGAUGCCUACUCAGGGUAUCACCAAAUCAGGAUGAAAGAGUCUGACCAGCUCGCGACUACUUUCAUCACGCCCUUUGGCAUGUACUGCUACGUUACUAUGCCAUUUGGUUUGAGGAAUGCGGGUGCAACGUACCAAAGGUGCAUGAACCACGUGUUCAGAGAGCACAUUGGUCGAACGGUCGAGGCUUAAGUCGAUGACAUCGUAGUCAAGACGAGGAAAGCCUCCGACCUCCUCUCCGACCUUGAAACGACAUUCCGGUGUCUCAAGGCGAAAGGCGUAAAACUCAAUCCCGAGAAGUGCGUCUUCAGAGUCCCCCGAGGCAUGCUCUUGGGGUUCAUCGUCUCCGAGCGGGGCAUCGAGGCCAACCCGGAGAAAAUCGCGGCCAUCACCAACAUGGGGCCCAUCAAAGACUUGAAAGGCGUACAGAGGGUCAUGGGAUGCCUUGCGGCUCUGAGCUGCUUCAUCUCGUGCCUCGGCGAAAGAGGCCUGCCUCUGUACCGCCUCUUAAGAAAGACCGAGUGCUUCACUUGGACCCCCGAGGCCGAGGAAGCCCUCGGGAACCUGAAGGCGCUCUUUACGAACGCACCCAUCCUGGUGCCCCCCGCUGCCGGAGAAGCCCUCUUGAUCUACGUCGCCGCUACCACUCAGGUGGUCAGCGCCGCGAUCGUGGUCGAGAGACAAGAAGAAGGGCAUGCAUUGCCCGUCCAGAGGCCGAUCUACUUCAUCAGUGAGGUACUGUCCGAGACCAAGAUCCGCCACCCACAAAUUCAGAAGCUACUGUUCGCGGUGAUUCUGAUGCGGCGGAAGUUGCGACACUACUUCGAGUCUGAUCCGGUAACUGUGGUGUCAUCCUUCCCCCUCGGGGAGAUCAUCCAGUGCCGGGAGGCCUCGGGUAGGAUUGCAAAGUGGGCGGUGGAAAUCAUGGGUGAGACAAUCUCGUUCGCCCCUCGGAAGGCCAUCAAGUCCCAAGUCUUGGCGGACUUUAUGGCUGAAUGGGUCGACACCCAGCUCCCGGCAGCUCCGAUCCAACCGGAACUCUGGACCAUGUUUUUCGACGGGUCGCUGAUGAAAACAGGGGCAGGCGCGGGCCUGCUCUUCAUCUUGCCCCUUGGGAAGCACCUCCGCUACGUGCUGCGCCUCCAUUUCCCGUCGUCCAACAACGUGGCUGAGUACGAGGCUCUGGUCAACGGGUUGCGCAUCGCCAUCGAGCUAGGGGUCUGACGCCUCGACGCUCGCGGUGACUCGCAGCUUGUCAUCGACCAAGUCAUGAAGAACUCCCACUACCGCGACCCGAAGAUGGAAGCCUACUGCGACGAGGUUCGGCGCCUGGAAGACAAGUUCUACGGGCUCGAGGUCAACCACGUCGCCCGACGAUACAACGAGACUGCGGACGAGCUGGCAAAGAUAGCUUCGGGGCGGACAACGGUUCCCUCGGACGUCUUCUCCCGAGACCUACAUCACCCCUCGGUCAAGACCAGCGACACGACCGAGCCCGAGGCACCCUCAGCAGAGCCCGAGGCACCCUCGGCUCAGCCUGAGGCACCCCUAGCUACCGAGUGUGAGACUCUACGCAUCGAGGAAGAGCGGAAUGGGGUCACGCCUAAUUGGAACUGGCAGACCCCAUACCUGCAAUAUCUCCACCGAGGGGAGCUACCCCUCGAUAGAGCCGAAGCUCGGCGACUGGCGCGGCGCGCCAAGUCAUUCGUCUUGCUGGGCAACAGGAAGGAGCUCUACCACCGCAGCCCCUCCGGCAUCCUCCAGCGAUGCAUAUCCAUCGCCGAAGGCCAGGAGCUCUUACAAGAAAUACACUCGGGGGCUUGCGGUCACCACGCAGCGCCUCGAGCCCUUGUUGGAAACGCUUUCUGACAAGGUUUCUACUGGCCGACCGCGGUGGACGAUGCCACUAGAAUUGUCCGCACCUGCCAAGGGUGUCAGUUCUACGCAAGGCAGACGCACCUACCCGCUCAGGCUCUGCAAACAAUACCCAUCACCUGGUCGUUUGCUGUGUGGGGUCUGGACCUCGUCGGUCCCUUGCAGAAGGCACCCAGGGGCUACACGCACCUGCUGGUCGCCAUCGACAAAUUCUCCAAGUGGAUCGAGGUCCGACCCAUAAACAACAUCAGGUCCGAACAGGCGGUGAAGUUCUUCACCAACAUCAUCCAUCGCUUUGGGGUCCCGAACUCCAUCAUCGCCGACAACGGCACCCAGUUCACCGGCAGAAAGUUCCUGGACUUCUGCGAGGAUCACCACAUCCGGGUGGACUGGGCCGCCGUGGCUCACCCCAUGACGAAUGGGCAGGUAGAGCGUGCCAACAGCAUGAUUCUGCAAGGUCUCAAGCCGAGGAUCUACAAUGACCUCCACAAGUUCGGCAGGCGAUGGAUGAAGGAACUCCCCUUGGUGGUCUGGAGCCUGAGGACGACGCCAAGUCAAGCCACAGGUUUCACGCCGUUCUUUCUAGUCUACGGGGCCGAGGCCAUCUUGCCCACAGACUUAGAAUACGGUUCCCCAAGGACGAGGGCCUACGACGACUAACGCAACCAGACCAACCGAGAAGACUCACUAGACCAGCUGGAAGAGGUUCGGGACGUGGCCUUACUACACUCGGUACGGUAUCAGCAGUCCCUGCGACGCUACCACGCCCGAGGGGUUCGGUCCCGAGACCUCCAGGUGGGCGACUUGGUGCUUCGACUACGACAAGACGCUCGAGGGCGGCACAAGCUCAUGCCUCCCUGGGAAGGGCCAUUCAUCAUCGCCAAGGUUUUGAAGCCCAGGACAUACAAGCUGGCCAACAGUCAAGGCGAGGUCUACAGCAACGCUUGGAACAUCCGACAGCUACGUCGCUUCUACCCUUAAGAUGCUUUCAAGCCAUUCAUAUACCUCGUUUACAUAUGAAGUCUAGCCAUCAAGGAAGGGUCGGCCUUGCCUCGGCAAAGCCCGACCCUCCCUCGGGGGCUAGAAGGGGCGAACCCCCUCUGCGUCAAAAUUUUCCUCGAAAAAAAGUCUUUCGGCAAGAACAUUCUUUGUGUUUUUCGACUACUUCGAUGGUGGGAUCCUGAAAACGACGGAGUACAUGUAAGCAAGGCUGACCGAGCCGAGGGACUCCUACGCCUCCGGGAUACGGAUACCUCACUCAUCACCUUCUGCGAUAAGUAACUCGCGCUCGGAUAAACGGUUCCGGUGACCGAACAAGUCUUAACGCUCAAAGACUCUUCUGCCGAAACGAUUUUUCGUGCCAUCUCGACCAUGUCGACAAAAGAAUCCUACGGACGAGUAAGAGUACACAUAAGCGGCAAGGCCGACCGAGCCGAGGGACUCCUACGCCUCCGGGAUACGGAUACCUCACUCAUCACCUUCCGUAAGAAGUAACUCUCGCUCGGAUGAACGAUUCUUCCACCGACAAGCAAGUCUUGAUACUCAAAACAAGGGGAAAAGAAACGCAGCUUUACAACACGACGACAGUAUGUUUGGGCCUCGGCGGCCGCAAAAAACAUAUGCAUACUACAGGCGAACCGAUGUUGCAGGCUCAGGUGUCGAUGGAGAGGGAGGAGCAGCACCCUCGGCGUCAACUCCACCUUUGGCGAAGUCCGACCAAGCCUCGGACGGCAACACGGGCGAAGGAUCUCCGCUCCGAAGGACGACGUCAGCACCACGCCCGGGCCAUCGCCGCUAGGGUCUCCUCCAGGAACCCGGCCCGAGCAGACAGCUCGGCCGGCUGCCCCGAAGCCUCAGCCAGCUGCCCCCUGAGGACACCAGCUCGACUCAUGGCCUCGGCAACCCGACUCCGGCGUUGGUCCCGCCAGUGGACGGCCCGGCCAGGCUCCGGCCGACGAAGCUUCCCUUUUCGAGCCAACUUCGCCUCUGUCCACGCUGACACCGCUGUCCUCGGCCCCGGCUCACCGCAGAGCAGCCGAGGGUUUCUUUGACUAAACAAGUGAAGCCUCGUGCGGCAAGGCCGACCGAGCCGAGGGAUUCCUACGCCUCCGGGAUACGGAUACCUCACUCGUCACCUUCCGCACAGAGCAACUCACAUUUGGUUAAGCGGUUCGGCUAGCCGACAGGCGAGUCCCAGUGCUCGAAAAUGAGGGAAAAAACAUGGUAUUACACCCAAAAAUACCAACAUGUUCAGGCCCCGACAGCCACAAUGAACAAACACCGACACUCAAGGUGCCAUUACAAACAGAACUCCGGUUCCACCCCGCAGGUACGAACAACCCCCCACAUUGGAGGGCCUGCGGGGCGACAAAACCCCUUGUGGCUCGCCGACGCCCGCUCCGGCAGCAGCGACAACGACCCCCGCUCCGAAGUGGCCAAACAGCAGCAACGAUGACCUCAGGGCGAACGCUGCUGCGACGAGCUCCUCGCCCACGUCCCCACUCGAGGGGCGAGGACAAGCUAUCAAAGCCAAUGAGCCAGAGGCCCGGAGCGUGGAUGGUGGCGGCGAUCUCGUCGGCAAUGAGGACUUCUUCAGCCGCCACCACCUCAACGUCGGCGACGGCAGCCAUCUGCCCACCGGCGGAUCCCCACUCGGAUCCUCCCGGACAGGCGAAGCACCGACCUCCACGCAAGAGGCGUCGUACCGGAGCAAAGGCAGGACCGCCCAAGAACACGAACGCCGCCCUAGCAGCGCGCGACGUCUUGGGCGGCCCUCUGGUGCGCGCGGCACGGCGACCGCUCGUACAGCGGGAGGGGGCACCGGGAGCCGAGCCAGCGCUAGCUGAGCCAGCGAGCCCAACGCGCUGAAGCUGACGACGCUCGCGGCCAGCCCCGCGUUGUCGGAGUCCGCCCCUUCCGCUAAGGCCAGUGAGCGCCCUCUCCCCUAAAUGCUGAAGGAGAGGAUGACCCACGAACCCGUGCGAGAGGUAGAGCUCCGGCUCAGCUCGCCCUCCGCCCCAGCAAGGAUGAUGAAGAUCCUUAAAACUGAGGGCGGGGCAGAGGCCGCAGCCUGGCUCGCUUCUCCCCACCAUCGAACUGGUGGUCACCGUCUUGGGUGACCACCGGCGAGGGGAUGCAGCCAGGCUGUCUGAUGAAAAUCCUUGAAGCCGAGCGAUGGCUGAAAGGUACCAACUUCCGUGAAGUUGUGUUCCUCCGACGACAGCAAGACAAAAGCGACGCAAGCGCUCCCCAUCCGGGGGCUUGGAAGGUGGGAGGACACGACGCAUGAGGAAAGUGCGAAGACAUGGUUGCCGUCCAAAGGGGUCACCCUCCUUUUAAAGGCGACUCUCCCCACUUGCGUCCUCAGCCGUCGCGGACUGAGUCUUCUCCAACACGCUCCAAGGUCCUCCCCCCAUGACACGGGGGCUGGGUCCCACGCGUCAUGCAAGCUGGCCCAGGAUAGAAGAAGCCAGACCGCCACGCGCGGAGCGCACAAUGGCCCAGCGGUUACAAGCAUUCCUCCACUAUCGCCCGACCCAGCGGGUGAAAGGGCGGACUGCCAUGCAGGCGGCAUGCGACCGCACCAAGAGGGCGCACCCCUCCGACUUCGCCGCGCCCAGCAUGGAGGCCCUGGCCCACACGUCAUGUAACUGGCGCGCCGGUUACUACGUGCAAGAAACUGCACCGCCACUCACGCCUGUCUCGCGCCUUCUCGACUGCGGAACCGGUGCCGCGACCCGAGGCAACCCCGCGCAUGACCCAACAGUGCCAACCGAGCACAUCGGUCACGGGUCAAUCAGCCGCGGGAGAAGGCGCGACGGUCGAUAUGGCUAGAAAUGGGCCGGCAGUAAUGGCGGCAGCAGGCGGGCAGAAGCAGCGGUCAAGUCGUCUGCAGGCUCACAUCCCCUCCUGGAACAGCGAAAGAACCCUCUCCCACGGCGUGAAGACAACGCGCCCGUGUUCCGUUCCUCGAACGGCUCGCGCACGCACAACGGCUGCCCCGCGAACCACUCGUCCCGUCGCAUUAACUCUGCGGCAGGGCAGGCGACACCUUUGGCAGGCGAAGCGGGCGACGCUUCACCUCUGCCAUAAUGACCGCAUCAAAAAAGAAAAGGUAUGCCACGACGUUCGAUUUCAUAUCCUUUUCCACUUCCUCUUUCUCUCUCUUGCCACAGGGACCGGGUGUAAGUGCAAUCAACCCUAAUUGAGGGUUUUGGUGAUUAAUGACAAAACGAACUAAGACUCUAACAAGUUUGCUCCUAGUAUGUACACAGUAUUUCUACAGACAGGAAAAGCACAGAUCUUACGAGCAUAAAAGUACAAAGCACAGCGGAUUUAAAUUCCACAUCAAAUGGCGUGCUCCAAGUGCUAAGAACCAACGGCGGUGCUAAAUUUAUAAUUCUUGAGUCAUAGGAAUCGCCGUACAAUUAAGAGGGAUCCGCGACGGUUAAGUAAGUUGUGAAAUGAGCCAAGUUCAAAAUCUUUUGAAAACUCCUUGGAGAUCAUUUUCCCAGAUCAUGAAUGCCCUUGAGAAAAACAAGUUUUACUUCUCAGCAAGACUCCCCUUUUGUUCUCUUCAAAAUUCUCAAAGUUUGGUUUCAGCCCCCAAAACCGGUUCAACCGGUCCUGAAACCGGUUCAACCGGUUUUGGUACUGUUCACCUGUCACCUCUGCUCUGACCUGUCUGACAGUCAGAGCUGUCAAAAAAAAGUCGCAGCAGAUUUUUUCCAGAAACCGGUUGAGCCGAUUUUUGUCCCUACUCAACCGGUCUUGAAACCGGUCGAGUGUCCGGCUGAGUAGCCCAGUGGACCGGGUUCCCCCUGGUAGAAACCGGUUCAACCGGUUUUUGCCCAUUUCCUCCCAACGGCUGCCAGCUUUUGGGGGGUCCUUUAUAUACCCCCUCACAUUCUCUCUCUCAUUAACUCUUACCUCUCCCACGAAUUCCUGGCUAACCAACCUUCAAACAAGAGCAUUCACUUCGCCUUUCACACCCGCAAUCGCAUCUCCUUCAAUCAUUUGAAGGACCCUUGGUGUGAGGUGAACUCGAUCGAACUCGUUGUCGAUUCCAUCUCGAUUCUCCCAUUCUCUUGUUCAUGAGCUCAUUGCAAACUUAACCGUGUGCGGAUUUGUUACUCUUGGAACCUCGUGUUCCUUGACGGUUAGAGGUUGCUUGGGAGUCUCCAAAUUUGUGGAUGACCCCAAGAAGUUUGUAUCACCCGCUCCUUGAGCAGAUUUGAGAAGAGAUUCCCUUGACCUUUGUGGUCGGUUUGUGGAGGAUUAGGGUUGGAAAAGACCCGGCCCUUUGUGGGUUCCUCAACGAGGAGUAGGACACCUUUGUGGUGGUUGCCGAACCUCGGGUUAUAUCACGCGUUCUUGUGUGUUCUUGUUAAGUGCUUUAUAUUCGGUAGUUGGUUCAUAUUAUUCAUUUAAGUAGUUUUAUGUAGGGCAAAUCUUUAGCUAUAUUAUUCACUACUUCGCACUUGUUCAAUAGAUUAUCAAAUUUAAGUUGAGCGGGUUCAAACUUGUUCAGUUGUGAUUAAAAUCGACUGAACCGGUUUGCACCUGUGCAACUUUAAUUUAACCUAUUUCGAAGUUUUUAGUGAAAUUUUUCAGGUGUAGCCUAUUCACCCCCCCUCUAGGCUACUUUCACCGGGAAAGGGGAUACUCCGAAAGGGAUCCUUCUCCACGAAGGAAACGGGCCCCGAGCCCCCCUACUGAUCAGAGGUUCGAAGGCUGGCCCCUCGAAAGGGUUUGAUAGCCGCCUCAGAGCACUCGGGCUCCGCGCCCAUUACUGGUCAGAGGUUCGAAGGUUGGCCCCUCGGGAGGGUUCAACAGCUGCCUCAGGCCACUCGGGCUCCGCGCCCAUUACUGAUCAGAGGUUCGAAGGCUGGCCCCUCGGAAGGGUUCAACGGCCGCCUUAGGCCACUCGGGCUCCGCGCCCACUACUGAUCAGGGGUUCGUAGGCUGGCCCCCGAAGGGUUCGACAGCCGCCUCAGAGCAUGCAGAGCGAGGGAUGACCCUGGGUACGUUCGAUACAUAACCAAGGCUCGGGCUACGCUCCCGAGGUACCCUAGGACAUUUCCGAGACCUGCGGGAGCGAUUUUCGUAACGGAAUCCCACCAGAGGGAGGCAUCGAGCCCUCGGACCCCGUCAAAAGGGGACCGGGUCCGGCGAAUCACCCGCAGGUACUUUUGGAGCGCGCCCCCGGGCCACUAGCCGACCCCUAACGAAUGGGGCACGGGCAUCCACUCGGAUCACCCGUUAGCAACUCACUGGAGACACCAUGUUCGGCGCCCUCCGAGGGCAACAUGGCGCUUUCCCCCCCUCCUCCUUGCAUAAAGGCGACGUAGGGGCGUAUGAAAAAAGCCGAGUCUGUCCUUGAUCGUCCUCUCGCUCUGUGUGAAGGCUUGGGGGCUGCUCUCGCGAACCCGGCUCCGGCCAAACCGUUGACAGCAUCAACAUACCAGCCCGAGAACUUGGGACUCGACUAUGCACGCGGGCUACGGCCAGUUCGCAUGAGGGAACGACCAAACCGGCCGAGCCAUCACGAAAGGCACUAAGACCUCGAAGGAGUCAAAACACUCCUCCGAGGCCUCGGGGGCUACACCCGGCGGGUGCGCUCGCGCGCACCCACCGGAGCAAAAUGCAACCGAGAAAGGCCGGUCCCCUUGCAAAAAAGUGCGACAAAAGCCUCCAAGCGAGUGCCGACACUCCCUUCGAGGCUUGGGGGCUACUGUCGGGGACCAUAAUUAGGGGUACCCCCAAGACUCCUAAUCUCAGCUGGUAACCCCCAUCAGCAUAAAGCUGCAAAGGCCUGAUGGGCGCGAUUAAGGUCAAGGCUCAGUCCACUCAAGGGACACGAUCUCGCCUCGCCCGAGCCCAGCCUCGGGCAAAGUCAGCCGACCCCGGAGGAUUCACGUCUCGCCCGAGGGCCCCCUCAAGCAACGGACGCACCUUCGGCUUGCCCAUCAAGGUGACGUGGGGGCUCCUCCGAAGCCGAGGUUGAGUCUGUCUUCUGUUGCCGAGGCCGAGUCUGAGCCCUGGGGUCGGGCGAGGCGGAGGUCGUUUGGCCGAGGCCAGGGCGGAGUCCGAGCCCUGGGGUCGGGCGAGGCGGAGUUUCGUCGUCUUCCGGGUCUUAGCCCGAGUCCGAGCCCUGGGGUCGGGCGGAGCGGAGUUCGCCGUCUUCCGGGUCUUAGCCCGAGUCCGAGCCCUGGGGUCGGGCGGAGCGGAGUUCGCCGUCUUCCGGGUCUUAGCCCGAGUCCGAGCCCUGGGGUCGGGCGGAGCGGAGUUCGCCGUCUUCCGGGUCUUAGCCCGAGUCCGAGCCCUGGGGUCGGGCGGAGCGGAGUUCGCCGUCUUUCGGGUCUUAGCCCGAGUCCGAGCCCUGGGGUCGGGCGGAGCGGAGUUCGCCGUCUUCCGGGUCUUAGCCCGAGUCCGAGCCCUGGGGUCGGGCGGAGCGGAGUUCGCCGUGGCGCCUUUGGCAAGGCCUGACUGUCUGUCUGACUCACUCUUUGCGUUAAAUGCUCCUGCAACUCGGUCAGUCGGUGUGGCGAUUUAGUCAGGGUUGCUUCUGAGCGAAGCCAAGGCCUCGGGCGAGCCGGUGAUGUGUCCGCCGUAAAAAGGGAGGCCUCGGGCGAGACGGAAGUCUCUCGAGGUCGGCUGCCCUUGGCCGAGGCUAGGCUCGGGUGAAGCGUGAUCGAGUCACUCGUGUGGACUGAUCCCUGACUUAAUCGUACCCAUCAGGCCUUUGCAGCUUUAUGUUGAUGGGGGUUACCAGCUGAGAAUUAGGCGUCUUGAGGGUACCCCUAAUUAUGGUCCCCGACAGUAGCCCCCGAGCCUCGAAGGGAGUGUUAGCACUCGCUUGGAGGCUUUCGUCGCACUUUUUUGCAAGGGGACCAGCCUUUCUCGGUUGCAUUUUGUUCUGGUGGGUGCGCGCGAGCGCACCCGCCGGGUGUAGCCCCCGAGGCCUCGGAGGAGUGGUUACACUCCUUCGAGGUCUUAAUACCUUGCGUAAUGCUUCGGCUGGUCUGGUCGUUCCCUCAUGCGAACUGGCCGUAGCCCGGGUGCACGGUCGGGGCCCAAGCUCUCGGGCUGGUAUGUUGACGCUGUCAACGGUUUGGCCGGAGCCGGUUUUUGCGAGAGCAGCCCCCGAGCCUCUGCACAGGGCGAGAGGACGAUCAGGGACAGACUCGACUUUUUACAUACGCCCCUACGUCGCCUUUCUGCAAGGAGGAGGGGGGAGUGCGCCAUGUUACCCUCGAUGGGCACCGAACAUGGUGUCUCCGGUGAGCUGCAAGCGGGUAAUCCGAGUGGGCGUCCGUGCCCCGUUCGUUGGGGGUCGGCUAGGGGCCCAGAGGCACGCCCAAAAGUACCUGUGGGUGAUUUGCCGGACCCGGUCCCCUGGCGACGGGGUCCGAGGGCUCGAUGCCUCCCUCCGAUGGGAUUCCGUUACAAGAUCGUUCCCGCUGGUCUCGGAAAUGUCCUAGGGUACCUCGGGAGCGCAGCCCGAGCCUCGGUUAUGUAUCGAACGUACCCCUGGUCAUCCCUCGCUCGGUGUCUGAGGUGACUGUGAACCCUUCGGGGGCCAGCCUUCGAACCCCUGAUCAGUAAUGGGCGCGGAGCCCGAGUAGCCUGAGGCGGCCAUGGAGCCCUUCGGGGGGCUGGCCUUCGAACCCCUGACCAGUAGUGGGUGUCGGGCCCACGCGAUCUGAGGCGACUGUUGAACCCUUCGGAGGGCCAGUCUUCGAACCCCUGAUCAGUAGGGGGGGCUCGGAGCCCGGUUCCUUCGCGGAAAAGGAUCCUUUUCGGGGUAUCCCCCUUUCCCGGUCCCUGUUGCAAGAGAUAGAGAAAGAGGAAAAAGGAAAAGGAAACGAAAUCGAACGACGUGGCGUACCUCUUUUUGACGCGGUUAUUACGGCGAAGGUGAAGCGUCGCGCGCUUCUCCCGCCAGAGGCGCCGCGUGUCCCGCCGCGAAGUUAAUGCGGCGGGGCGAGUGGUUGGCGAGGCGGCCAUUGCGCGUGCGCGAUUCGUUCGAGGAACGGGUCACGGGCGCACCGUCUUCACGCCGUGGGAGGAGGCUCUCUUGCUGCCCCAGGAUGAGACGUGAGCCUGGCUGACGACGUGACUGCUGCGCCCGCCCGCCUGCCACCGCCAUCACUGCUGGCCCACUUUCGGUCGCUUUGACCAACGCGCCAGGCUAGCGCCGCUGGGUCGCCUCGAGUCGCGGCAUAGGCUCCGCAACCGAAGAGGCGCGACGGUGGCGCAAGUGGCGGUGCGGUUGCUUGCAUGCAGCAACUGACGCGCCGGUUGCUUGACGCGUGGGCCUGGGCUUCCGAGCUGGCGUGUCAGAAGUCGGAGAAGCGCGUCCACCUGGCGCGGUUGCAUGCCGUCUGCACGGCUGCCCGCCCCUUCCGCCCGUUGGUCUGGGCAAAAGUGGGGGGUCGCUUGUAACCGCUAGACAGUCGUGCGCACCACGCGCGGCGGUUUGGCUUCUUCUGCCCUGAGCUGGUUUGCAUGACGUGUGGGACCCAGCCCCCGAGUCGCAGGGGAGGGCCUUGGAGCGUGUUGGAGAAGACUCAGCCCGCGGCGUCUGGGGGCGCACGUAGGGAGAGUUGCCUUUAAAAGGAGGGAGACUCCUUUCGGAAGGCAACCAUGUCUUCUUCCUCCCUUAUGCGUCGUGUCUUUCCAUUUUCCAAGCCCCCGGAUGGGGGGUAUCCGCCGCCUUUCCGCCUCCUUGUUGGAGGAACGCAACCCCGUGGGAGUUGGUACCUCUCAGCCAUCGUUCGGCUUCAAGGAUUUUCAUCAUGCAGCCCGGCUGCUCCCCUCCACCGGCGGUCACCCGAGAUGGUGACCUCCGGCUUGAUGGUGGGGGAAAGCGAGCCGGGCUGCGGCCUCUGCCCCUCCCUUAGCCUCAAGGAUUUUCAUCACCAGGGCUGGGGAGGGGAGUGCGCCGAGUUGAGGUCAGCCCCCGUGUGGGCGGCGGCCCGCUCCUUCACUCAGUGAUGGGGGGGAGGAGCGGUUGUUGUCCGUGGCGCUGGCAACUGCAGCGUGCCCGGUCUUCAAACGCGAGUGGCUUCGGAGCCGCUCGCGGCGCCGGCGUCCGCCACGGCAGCUGGAAGAGGUUCUUCCGCCGGCACGAUAGCCGGGGCCGGCCACGGACUGACCUCCAACUCUACGGCCUUCUGUCCGUCCUUGCCUCACGAGUUUUGUCGUGGGCGGGGGCCUCCUGGCGGCAGCAUCCGCCCUAGGGUCAGUGCUGCCGCUGUUCGACCCCCCGGAGCAGAAGUCGUCGUCGUCGCCGCUGCUGGAGCAGGUGACGGCGCGCCGUUCGUCGGCCUUCCGUUGCUCCGCAGGCCUUCCCCCUCGGAGUGGGGUUGUUCGUACCUGCGGAGGGGGAACCGGAGUUCCGUUCGUAAUGGCACUUCGAAUGCCAGUGUGUUUGUUCAUUGUGGCUGUCGGGGCCUGAACCUGUAUGUAAUUUCGGCACGGAGCCGUGUUUUUUCCUCAUUUUCGAGCACUAAGUCUCGCUUGUUGGUUAUCUGAACCGCUUUACCAAGCAUGAGUCGCCCCGUGUCAAGGUGACGAGUGAGGUAUCCGUAUCCCGGAGGCGUAGGAGUCCCUCGGCCCGUUCGGCCUUGUUGUCUGGGGCUCCUCUAGCUUAGUCAAAGAGACCCCUCGGCUGCCCUUCGAUGAGCCGAGGCCAGGGGUAGCGAUAUCAGUAUGAACAGAGGCGGAGUUGGCUCGAGAAUGAGAACCUGGUUGGCCGAAGCCUAGUCGUGUUGUCCGUCAGCGGAGCCGACGCCAAAGUCGAUCCGCCGAGGCCUCGGGUCGGGCUGGCGCCCUUGGAAGCCGGUUGGUCGAGUCCCCAGGGGUAACCGGCCGAGCCGCCUGCUCGGGCCGGAUUCCCGGAGGGGUCCCUGGACCGCGCCGCUAGGGCUGGACGAAAAACUCAUAGCUCGUUAACUCGCUCGACUCGACUCGAUAGUGGUUCAACUCGACUCGGCUCGUUUAUAAUUUGUAACGAGUUGAGCUUGUAUUUCAACUCGUUAUGAUAACGAGCCAGCUCGAGCUGGCUCGUGAGCUAACUCGCGAGCCAAAUGAGUUGGAGUAAUUAGUCAAAUCACAAUAAUCUCCGAUCCAAAAUAGUUAAUCUUGUACUCUACUAUAGUUAAUAUUGUUAUUUGUUGAGUGUGGAAUCUUAAGUUGCAAACUCUAUUAUUUUUUCUAAAUAAGAUCUCCUUCUUUUCUUUUGCUACAUGUUUUUAUAUCCGUUCAUAAACACUAGACAUGGUAUUAUCGAGCUGGCUCGCGAGCUAAACGAGCCAGCUCGAGUUGGCAAACGAGUCGAGCCGAGUUGGAUCCUUAGCUCGUUAACAUAACGAGUCGAGCCGAGUCAGCUCGUUAUCUUAACGAGCCAGUUCGAGUCGAGUCGAGCCGAGCCGAGCCAGCUCGAUAUCCACCCCUACGCGCCGCCGUCCGAGGCUGGGUCGGACAUAGCUGAAGACGCCGUCGAUGCCGAGGGUGUCGUCGCCUCCCUUCAGCGUGAAGACCCGAGCCUGCAGGAUCAGAUCGUCUUGUAGCGUGUGCCUUCUGUGGCCGCCGAGGCCAGAAAACACACCCUCGCCGUGCUUGCGAAGCUGCGUCUUUUUUCCUCUUGUUUCGAGCAUCUGGACUCUGUCGGUAACAGGGAUGUUUGUGUGAGCGAGAGUUGCUUCUCGCGGAAGGGACGAGUGAGGUAUCCGUAUCCCAGAGGCGUGGGAAUCCCUCGGCUCGGUCGGCCUUGCCGCUUACGCGUACUUUCACCCGUUCAUGAGGCCCUGUCCCCGACUUAGUCGAGAAAGCUUGAAGGACUGCUUCGGCAGGAGAGCUUCCGAACGUGAAGACUUGCUCGGUCCACGAAGUCGCUUUAUCCGAGCGCGAGUUACUUAUCGCAGAAGGUGAUGAGUGAGGUAUCCGUAUCCCGGAGGCGUAGGAGUCCCUCGGCUCGGUCAGCCUUGGCUGCUUACGUGUACCCCGUCGUUUCCAGGAUCCGCUUUCCGAAGUAGUCAAGAAGCACGAAAGUAAUCCUGCUAGAAAGAGAUCCUUUUUCGAGGAAAAAUUCGACGCAGAGGGGGUCUCUCCCCUUUUAGCCCCCGAGGGAGGGUCGGGCUUUGCCGGGGCUAGGCCGACCCUUCCUUGACGACUAAACUUUGCGUAGGUGCGAGGUAUAUGAACAACUUGGAAACAUCUUAAGGGUAGAAGCGACGUAGCUGUUUGAUGUUCCAGACGUUGCCGUAGAUCUCGCCUUGAUUGUUGGCCAGCUUGUAUGUUCCGGGCUUCAGAACUUUGGCGAUGACGAAUGGCCCUUCCCAGGGGGGCGUGAGCUUGUGCCUCCCUCGGGCGUCUUGCCACAGCCGAAGCACCAGAUCGCCCACCUGGAGGUCUCGGGACCGGACCCCUCGGGUGUGGUAGCGUCGCAGGGACUGUUGGUACCGCGCCGAGUGUAGUAAGGCCCUGUCCCGAGCCUCCUCCAGCUGGUCCAGCGAUUCUUCUCGGCUAGCUUGGUUGCUUUGAUCGGUGUAGGCCCUCGUCCUCGGGGAGCCGUAUUCCAGGUCAGUGGGCAAGAUAGCUUCAGCCCCGUAGACCAGGAAAAACGGCGUGAAACCCGUGGCGCGACUCGGCGUCGUCCUUAGGCUCCAGACCACCGAGGGGAGUUCCUUCAUCCACCGCUUGCCGAACUUGUUGAGGUCGUUGUAGAUCUGAGGCUUGAUCCCUUGUAGAAUCAUGUCGUUGGCACGCUCUACUUGCCCAUUCGACAUGGGAUGAGCCACGGCGGCCCAGUCCACCCGGAUAUGGUGAUCCUCGCAAAAAUCCAAGAAUUUUUUGCCGGUGAACUGGGUGCCGUUGUCGGUGAUGAUGGAGUUCGGGACCCCGAAGCGAUGGAUGAUGUUGGUGAAGAACGCCACCGCCUGCUCGGACCUGAUGCUGUUCAGAGGUCGGACCUCGAUCCACUUGGAGAAUUUGUCGAUGGCGACCAGCAGGUGCGUGUAGCCCCCGGGCGCCUUCUGCAAGGGACCGACGAGGUCCAGACCCCAUACGGCGAAGGGCCAGGUGAUGGGUAUCGUCUGUAGAGCCUGAGCGGGCAGGUGGGUCUGCUUCGCAUAGAAUUGGCACCCUUCGCAGGUGCGGACAACUCUAGUGGCGUCAGCCACCGCCGUUGGCCAGUAGAAGCCUUGCCGGAAAGCAUUCCCGACAAGGGCUCGGGGCGCCGCGUGGUGGCCGCAAGCCCCCGAGUGUAUUUCUUGCAGCAGUUCCCGACCUUCGGCGAUGGAGAUGCAUCGCUGGAGGAUGCCCGAGGGGCUGCGACGGUAGAGCUCCUCUUCAUCGCCCAGCAAGACGAACGACUUGGCGCGUCGCGCUACCCGCCGAGCCUCGACUUGGUCGGGGGGUAGCUCUCCUCGACGGAGAUAUUGCAGGUACGGGGCCUGCCAAUCUCGAUCAGGCGUGGCCCCGCUCUGCUCUUCCUCGACGUCCAGUGCCUCGCCCUCGGGGGCCGAGGGUACCUCGGGCUGAGCCGAGGGUGCCUCAGGCCGAGCUGAGGGCGCCUCGGCUUGAGCCGAGGGUGCCUCGGGCUCGGGCACGUCGUCGAUCUUGACAGAGGGUCGAUGCAGAUCCCGGGAGAAGACGUCCGGGGGGACCGUCGUUCGCCCCGAGGCUAUUUUAGCCAGCUCGUCUACGGUUUCGUUGUAGCGCCGAGCGAUGUGGUUGAGCUCGAGCCCGAAGAACUUGUCUUCCAGGCGCCGAACCUCGUCGCAGUAGGCCUCCAUCUUUGGGUCGCGGCAGUGGGAGUUCUUCAUGACUUGGUCAAUGACGAGCUGCGAAUCACCACGGGCGUCGAGGCGUCUGACUCCUAGCUCGAUGGCGAUCCGCAACCCGUUGACCAGAGCUUCGUACUCGGCCACAUUGUUGGACGCCGGGAAAUGGAGGCGUAGCACGUAGCGCAGGUGCUUUCCAAGGGGCGAGAUGAAGAGCAGGCCCGCGCCGGCUCCUGUCUUCAUCAGCGACCCGUCGAAAAACAUGGUCCAGAGCUCCGGUUGGAUCGGAGCCGUCGGCAACUGGGUGUCAACCCAUUCGGCCACGAAGUCCGCCAACACCUGGGACUUGAUGGCCUUCCGAGGGGCGAACGAGAUCGUUUCGCCCAUGAUUUCCACCGCCCACUUUGCGAUCCUGCCCGAGGCCUCUCGGCACUGGAUGAUCUCCCCCAGGGGGAAGGAUGACACCACAGUUACCGGAUGAGACUCGAAGUAGUGUCGCAGCUUCCGCCUUGUCAGGAUCACAGCAUAUAGCAGCUUUUGAACUUGUGGGUAGCGGAUCUUGGUCUCGGACAGCACUUCGCUGACAAAGUAGACCGGCCUCUGAACGGGCAAUGCAUGCCCUUCCUCUUGCCUCUCGACCACAAUCGCGGCGCUAACCACCUGUGUGGUCGCGGCAACGUAGACCAAGAGGGCUUCUCCAUCCGCCGGGGGCACCAAGACAGGCACCUUCGUAAGGAGCGCCUUCAGGUUGCCGAGGGCUUCCUCGGCCUCAGGGGUCCAAGCGAAACACUCGGCCUUCCUUAAGAGGCGGUACAGAGGCAGACCUCUUUCGCCGAGGCGUGAGAUGAAGCGGCUCAGGGCCGCGAGGCAUCCCAUGACCCUGUGUACACCUUUUAAGUCCCUGAUGGGCCCCAUGCUGGUGAUGGCCGCGAUCUUCUCCGGGUUGGCUUCAAUGCCUCGCUCGGAGACGAUGAACCCUAGGAGCAUGCCUCGGGGCACCCCGAAGACACACUUCUCAGGAUUGAGCUUGACUCCUUUCGCCUUGAGACAUCGGAAUGUCACUUCAAGGUCGGAGAGGAGGUCGGAAGCCUUCAUUGUCUUGACUACGAUGUCAUCGACGUAGGCCUCGACUGUGCGACCGAUGUGUUCACCGAACACAUGGUUCAUGCACCGCUGGUACGUCGCGCCCGCAUUCCUCAAACCGAACGGCAUGGUGACAUAGCAGUACAUGCCGAACGGCGUGAUGAAAGAAGUCGCGAGCUGGUCGGACUCUUUCAUCCGGAUCUGGUGAUACCCUGAGUAGGCAUCGAGGAAGGAUAGGGUUUCGCACCCAGCGGUGGAAUCCACGAUUUGAUCGAUGCGGGGCAGAGGGUAGGGAACCUUCGGACAUGCUUUGUUGAGACCAGUGUAGUCUACACACAUCCGCCAUUUCCCCCCUUUCUUCCUCACAAGUAUAGGGUUGGCGAGCCAUUCGGGAUGGAAUACCUCUUUGAUGAACCCUGCUGCCAUUAGCUUGUGGAUCUCUUCGCCAAUCACUCUCGCUUCUCCUUGUCGAAUCGGCGCAGAGACUGCCUGACGGGUCGGGCUCCGGCCCGAAUAUCCAGCAAGUGCUCGGCGACAUCCCUCGGUAUGCCGGGCAUGUCCGAGGGACUCCACGCAAAGACGUCGGUGUUUGCGCGGAGAAAGUCGACGAGCACUGCUUCCUGUUUGGGGUCGAGCCCGGAACCGAUCCGGACCUGCUUGGUGGUGUCGCCACUGGGGUCAAGAGGGACGGCCUUAACCGUCUCUGCUGGCUCGAAGUUGCCGGCAUGGCGCUUCACGUCUGGCACCUCCUUGGAGAGGUUCUCCAGGUCGGCGAUGAGGGCCUCGGACUCGGCGAGGGCCUCGGCGUACUCCACGCACUCCACGUCGCAUUCGAACGCGUGUUUGUACGUGGGGCCGACGGUGAUGACCCCGUUGGGGCCCGGCAUCUUGAGCUUCAGGUAGGUGUAGUUGGGGACGGCCAUGAACUUCGCGUAACAUGGCCUCCCUAGUACGGCGUGGUAGGUUCCUCGGAACCUGACCACCUCGAACGUCAGGGUCUCCCUUCGGAAGUUGGAGGGCGUCCCGAAACAGACGGGGAGGUCGAGUCGCCCGAGGGGCUGGACGCGCUUCCCAGGGAUGAUCCCGUGGAAGGGCGCAGCGCCUGCUCGGACGGAGGACAGAUCGAUGCGCAGGAGCUUGAGGGUCUCGGCGUAGAUGAUGUUGAGGCAGCUGCCCCCAUCCAUCAGGACCUUGGUGAGCCUGACAUUGCCGACAACGGGGUCGACGACGAGCGGGUAUUUCCCCGGGCUCGGCACAUGGUCGGGGUGGUCGGCCUGGUCGAAGGUGAUGGGCUUGUCGGACCAGCCUAGGUAGACUGGCGCCGCCACCUUCACCGAGCAGACCUCCCGGCGCUCUUGCUUGCGAUGCCGAGCCGAGGCAUUCGCCGCAUGCCCUCCAUAGAUCAUGAAGCAGUCGCGGACCUCGGGGAACUCUCCUGCUUGGUGAUCUUCGUUCUUGUCGUCGUCGCGGGCCCUGCCACCCUCGGCGGGUGGCCCGGCCCUGUGGAAGUGACGCCGAAGCAUAAUGCACUCCUCGAGGGUGUGCUUGACGGGCCCCUGAUGGUAGGGGCACGGCUCCUUGAGCAUCUUGUCGAAGAGGUUCGCACCUCCAGGGGGCUUCCGAGGGUUCUUGUACUCGGCGGCGGCGACAAGGUCCGUGUCAGCGGCGUCGCGUUUCGAUUGCGACUUCUUCUUGCCUUUCUUCUUGGCGCCGCGCGGAGCAGACGCCUCGGGAGCCUCUUCCGAUGGGCGGCCCUGGGGCUGCUUGUCCUUUCGGAAGAUAGCCUCGACCGCCUCCUGGCCAGAGGCGAACUUAGUGGCGAUGUCCAUCAGCUCGCUCGCCCUGGUGGGGGUCUUGCGACCCAGCUUGCUCACCAGGUCGCGACAAGUGGUGCCGGCGAGGAACGCGCCGAUGACAUCCGAGUCGGUGAUGUUGGGCAGCUCGGUGCGCUGCUUCGAGAAUCGCCGGAUGUAGUCCCGGAGCGACUCCCCCGGCUGUUGCCGGCAGCUUCGAAGGUCCCAGGAAUUCCCGGGGCGCACGUACGUGCCCUGGAAAUUCCCAGCGAAGGCUUGGACCAAGUCGUCCCAGUUGGAGAUCUGCCCCGGAGGCAGGUGCUCCAACCAGGCGCGAGCAGUGUCGGAGAGGAACAGGGGGAGGUUACGGAUGAUGAGGUUGUCGUCGUCCGUCCCACCCAGUUGGCAGGCAAGGCGGUAGUCCGCGAGCCACAGUUCCGGCCUCGUUUCCCCCGAGUACUUCGUGAUAGUAGUCGGGGGUCGGAACCGGGUCGGGAAUGGCGCCCGUUGGAUGGCCCGACUGAAGGCCUGCGGACCGGGUGGUUCGGGCAAGGGACUUCGAUCCUCCCCGCUGUCGUAGCGCCCCCCACGCUUGGGGUGGUAGCCUCGGCGCACCCUUUCGUCGAGGUGGGCCCGACGGUCGCGUCGAUGGUGCUCGUUGCCGAGGUGGCCCGGGGCCGCAGGCGCGGUGUUGCACGUGCGCCCGGUGUAGACCGAGGCUUCCCACAUGAAUCGGGAAGUCGCGGCAUGAGGUUCCGAGGGAUGUCCUUGCCUUCGGGAGGCAGUGCUCUCGGCCCGUCGGGCCGCAGCGCCUUCCAGGAGAUUCUUGAGCUCUCCCUGGAUUCGCCGACCCUCGGUGGUUGAUGGCUCCGGCAUCGCGCGGAGGAGCAUCGCUGCGGCUGCCAGGUUCUGACCAACCCCGCUGGAUGCGGGCGGCGGCCUGACCCUGACAUCGUUGGCGACGCGGUGCUGGAGACCUUGGGGCAGGUGACGUAUUUCUCCGGCCAGGGGUUGGUCCGCCCAUACCUGCCCGACGUCCCGACGGAUCGGCUCAAGCGCUCCUGUUCCCUCGUUGAGCCUGGCCUGCGCCUCGCGGACUUGCUCGAGUUGUGGGUCGUAACCCCCCGCCGGAGCGGGGACCACAGCUAGCUCCCGUGGGAUGUCGGCGCGAGGCACCGGCCUAGGAAGAUCACCGUCCUCCGGCAUGCCGAGACGGUUGCCUUCGGAGGGAUCCCCUAGCUCGAUGUGGAAACAUUCGCGGCUUGGGCCGCAGCUCUCGUCGCCAAGGCUGCGGCUUCCGUCGGAACAGUCGGAUAGGCAGUAGUCACAUGCGGUCAUGAAGUCCCGCAUGGCACUGGGGUUGCCAAGUCCGGAGAAAUCCCCACAGACGCUGGGGUCGUCAUCUUCCUCGGACCCAGAGGGCCCGUAGGUCGAGACGUCCGUCAGCCGGUCCCAAGUUGACCGUAUACGAAACCCCAGUGGGGUUGCACUCGCCUCAAUGAGAGCGCCCGCCAAAGCGAGGUCGUUUGGCGGGUUGAGGCCGAGUCGAAAUGACGUAAGAUGGGAGUUAGUCGGUACCUUUUGGUCGACGAGGAGCGACGUAGUCGCAUCGGGGACUGGUUGCACCGUCAUCUCAGGUACGAGGGCGACGUCCUGCAGGCUUUCCGCGAGCGCGCCGGCGUCGUCUUCUUGCUCGGGGUCAGCGUGUCGCGGGGGGACGGCGCUUGCCUUCGUCUUGAACGCGAGGUCGACGUCCGGCGUGCCUUCUGUCGGGGCGUCAGGGGCGUCGAUUCGCUCGACGGCCAACGAAGCGCGGCCCCCCGCUUGGCCUCGAUGGCCCCGCCUCCUCCUCCGUUGGCGGGGGAGAGAACGGAGCGAGCUCGAAUGUUGUUCUCCCACCACGUGGGGAAGGUGUCGUCGAUUCCGCCGCCGGCGAGCGGGUUGUCGGCCGCCAUUGUCGUUGUCGCGCGGCGGUGGAAGAAGUAUCAUGUCGUAGCUGCCGUCGAAGGACAUGAACUCAAGAGUCCCGAAACGAAGCACCGCCCCGGGCCGGAGAGGUUGCUGGAGAUUGCCCAUCUGGAGCUUGACGGGGAGCUGUUCGUCAGCACGCAGCAGGCCCCUACCUGGCGCGCCAACUGUCGGCGUUUCGAGACAGGGGGGUCCCAAAGCCGACGAGUGAGUGUGCUGCGUGCCCCAGCCCAGAUGGGUCGAGCGCGUGGGCGAGCGCGAAGGGGGGAGAGGCGAGGUGGCCGGAGUCGAGCGUGAGAGAGGUGGAAGUCCCGCGGCCUUCGUGUUCGUCCCGCGCCCAGGUCGGGUGCGCUUGCAGUAGGGGGGUUACAAGCGUCCACGCGGGUGAGGGAAGCGAGCGGCCCCAAGAGAGCGCCUGUCCCGUCCUCGGUCCCGCGCGGCCAACCUCCUCUAAGAAGGCCCUAGUCCUCCCUUUUAUAGUCGUAAGGAGAGGAUCCAGGUGUACAAUGGGGGGUGUAGCAGAGUGCUACGUGUCUAGCGGAGAGAGAGCUAGCGCCCUAGGUACAUGCCAAUGUGGCAGCCGGAGAGGUCUUGGCACCUUGCUGGCGUGAUGUCGUGGCUGUCGGAGGUGCGACGGAGCCUGGUGGAGGGACAGCUGUUGGAGCGGUCGAGUCCUUGCUGACGUCGCCCUGCUUCCGUAAGAGAGCUGGGGGCCGCCGUCGUCACAGAGCUUGUGGAGCGCCAUCAUUGCCCAUCCGGCGGAGCUGGCCGGAUGGGACGCCGGUCUUGUUCUCCGUGACCCGAGUUGAUUCGGGGUAGGAUGAUGAUGACGCUUCCUGUUGACGUGGCGGGUCUGUGCCCUAGGCGGGGUGACGUGGGGGCUCCUCCGAAGCCGAGGUUGAGUCUGUCUUCUGUUGCCGAGGCCGAGUCCGAGCCCUGGGGUCGGGCGAGGCGGAGGUCGUUUGGCCGAGGCCAGGGCGGAGUCCGAGCCCUGGGGUCGGGCGAGGCGGAGUUUCGUCGUCUUCCGGGUCUUAGCCCGAGUCCGAGCCCUGGGGUCGGGCGGAGCGGAGUUCGCUGUCUUCCGGGUCUUAGCCCGAGUCCGAGCCCUGGUGUCGGGCGGAGCGGAGUUCGCCGUCUUCCGGGUCUUAGCCCGAGUCCGAGCCCUGGUGUCGGGCGGAGCGGAGUUCGCCGUCUUCCGGGUCUUAGCCCGAGUCCGAGCCCUGGGGUCGGGCGGAGCGGAGUUCGCCGUCUUCCGGGUCUUAGCCCGAGUCCGAGCCCUGGGGUCGGGCGGAGCGGAGUUCGCCGUCUUCCGGGUCUUAGCCCGAGUCCGAGCCCUGGGGUCGGGCGGAGCGGAGUUCGCCGUCUUCCGGGUCUUAGCCCGAGUCCGAGCCCUGGGGUCGGGCGGAGCGGAGUUCGCCGUGGCGCCUUUGGCAAGGCCUGACUGUCUGUCUGACUCACUCUUUGCGUUAAAUGCUCCUACAACUCGGUCAGUCGGUGUGGCGAUUUAGUCAGGGUUGCUUCUGAGCGAAGCCAAGGCCUCGGGCGAGCCGGUGAUGUGUCCGCCGUAAAAAGGGGGGCCUCGGGCGAGACGGAAGUCUCUCGAGGUCGGCUGCCCUUGGCCGAGGCUAGGCUCGGGUGAAGCGUGAUCGAGUCACUCGUGUGGACUGAUCCCUGACUUAAUCGUACCCAUCAGGCCUUUGCAGCUUUAUGCUGAUGGGGGUUACCAGCUGAGAAUUAGACGUCUUGAGGGUACCCCUAAUUAUGGUCCCCGACAGUAAGGCUCUCUCUCUCCCACGCGAACGCUUGUAACCCCUACUGCAAGCGCUUUCAGCCGCCCUGGGCGCAGGACAACACGAAGGCCGCGGUUUCUCCUCGCUGUUCUCCCCCCUUUGUGUUCCGUCUCGCGCCGACCCAUCUGGGCUAGAGCACGCAACGACAAUUUACUCGUCGGUCCAGAGACCCUCGGGGUCGAAACGCCGACAACUUUCAACCCUGUGUAUGGCGGCGCCACUGUUCCACGUUGGAAUUACGACGAUGCUCGGCGCCCUCACCAGUGCAAGAUCGAACGCUGACACACUUUAACAGGAAAUAGAGAAGGUGACGACGAAGGGGUAGAUACACUUACCAAUAUCGGCGACAGAGAUCGUGUCGAUGCUAGCCUCGACCAGCCAUGGUUUGGAAGUGAAUUCUAGACUCCAGAGGAAACACAAUAGGGCCCUGGCAUGGACGCAUGGUGCCCUGACGUGUAGAGUGGAGACGACGAGCUGAUGGCAAAGGGGCGCCCGACAUCUAGCCAUGGGGGCAGCACUUGAGGGCUCUGUAGAGGAGCACCUACGUGUGUCCACAUGGGAGCCUAGAGGAGGCAGGAAAAGCUUCGGGAGGAAGGUACCCAGCGGCUGGAAGAAAAAUUAGAAGAGAAGAGGGAUGGCGUCUGGACAUAAAUAUGCCCCACAACCACGAAUCCUA
Molecule: long non-coding RNA, 70885 nt
Filed under: Zea mays
Lineage: Eukaryota; Viridiplantae; Streptophyta; Magnoliopsida; Poales; Poaceae
Description: long non-coding RNA (ZMAY_LNC001451)
Source: RNAcentral